RNAcentral lists this long non-coding RNA (65082 nucleotides) under Ananas comosus (pineapple). RNAcentral's name for it is "long non-coding RNA (ACOM_LNC004770)". The record is from RNAcentral. Lineage: Eukaryota; Viridiplantae; Streptophyta; Magnoliopsida; Poales; Bromeliaceae.
GUGGGCUCCCUAGGGUUGAGUGGGUGGUUGAUUGAAUAGUAUAAUCUAAUGGGUGAAAAUGAUUAAAGGGCAGAUCUAACGGGCAAAAACCUAUGAGUACAAGAGGCUCUAUACUCAUAAAAGUAUAGUAGCCGGACUCUAUAUAUAUAUAUAUAUAUAUAGAGAGAGAGAGAGAGAGAGAGAGAGAGAGAGGUUGGUAUACUAUCAGUAACACGGAGGUCUCCGUGUUACCAAGUUGUUUUCAAUGAUAUAGCUUCCAAAUCGACGAUCGGCUCUGUUAGACUUGAUCUAAACUAUUGUAAGUAUUUAAAAACUAAAUUUCAUAAUUUUUCGACAUCAUUUACCUAUCAAACGAGUAGUCUAAAAAUGAAUGAAUGAAAAUAAAAAUCUCAUAAAAAAUGAUGAUAAAAGAUUUGAAUUUAAGAUCAGAUGUAUUGAUCUUAUUCUAAAUAGUGAAAAUAAUUUUUUAUAAAAAUUUCAUCAGAUUUGGAUUGUUUUAUAUCGUUAAAUUCACAAACGCAUCACAUCGACCAUUCAAAUAGUCAAUUUUGAGACCUUUUGAUCAUUCGCUAAAUGAUGUUGAAAAAUUAUGAAAUUUAGUUUUCAAAUACUUUUAAUAGUAUAGAUCAAAUCUAAAAGAGCCGAUCGUCAAUUUGAAAGCCGCAUCAUUGAAAACAACUUGGUAGCACGGAGGCCUCCGUGCUACCAAUAGUAUACCAGCCCAGCUCAUACAUAUAUACGUACAGCCCAGCUCAUACAUAUAUACGUCAUCACAACACACAUACCCAACACACACACAAAACAUAUGUAUUAUAUUAUAUAUAUAUAUAAUACUAUUAUAUAAAAUAAUAUAUAUAUAUAUAAAAUAGCUAACUAUAUGAAAGAGGUAAUUAAUUAACUUUCUUUUUUCAACAUUUUUAGGAUAAAAUGGGUAUAUUAGUAAUUACCUAACUGUAUCAUGCAAUGCAUGCACGUACGGAAUGGUAUUUUGAAUGGUAUUUUGAAUUAACUACUAUAAUUUUAAAUUUUAAGAAGGCGGAAUUUAAAGGACGAGGAGGUAAAGUGUAGCUUAUCAUAAUAAGGAGAGGAAUUUGAUUUCGUGCAUGUCCAUAGUUUUAGAAAUCAUUGAGACUUGGUCUAAGCUUCAGAUGCAAUACAUGUAGAUCCUUAAGAGAAUUUUUGAGCUAAUAAGCCUACGAACAUUAUAAAAAAAAAAAGUAAAAUAAAAUAAACCCAACAUGUAACCAAUGAGAGCGAUUCAACGAGCCAAUUCGAUUGCAUAUCACUACGGGAAAAAAACAACAACAACAACAACGACGACGACGACGACAAAUUAUUAAGAUUGAUAUAACAAAUCAUUAAUAACAAGACCUUAUGAUACAUGCAUAUGCUUUAAAUCUAAGUCAAAUCACUCGCUUUCAAAAAUAUAAUUAAUCUAAUUAAUCCCUUCGUGGCUAAUCACAUUUGAUUGGUCACCAUGGAAUGACCACUGUAGCCUUAAGGUUGUGUUUGACAUUGGACUUAUGCUUUUGCUUAGUCAUAUCCUAGUUGAUAAAAAAUAAAAAAAAUAAAAAAUAAAAUUUUAAUUUAGAGUUUUAUUUAGAAAGAAACUCCAUUAAAUAUUUAAAUAUGUGUUGCAUUGUUUGAGAUUCCUUUUGGUACCUUUUAUAGUUUGAAAUAUUCCUCUUAGAAUAAGACAUGCAAAAGCAAAGGUGUUAAAGUAUCUUUUUUUUUUCUUUUUUCUUUUUUUUUUUGUGGCUAGUUGGCAAAUACACAUCAAGUUAGAAUUAAUAAAGUACAUGCAUUUAUAUAUUGUUUAAUAAAAAAAUAAUUGUAUAUGUAUCGUUAAAUCGCGAUAAAAUUGUAUAUUUAUUUUCACAAAGUUUUAGUUAUCUGAUACAUUCUUUGGUAGUUAAUCGGUUAAAGUCAAUACUUUUAGGGUGCGUUUGGUUGGCAUUAUGAAAGAUUACUAGGAAUAAAAGAUAUCCGAGAAUUUUAUUCCUAUUCAUCCUAUUACUAAGAAUGUGGAAUUUCUGUGUUUGGUUCGUACGGUAAUAUUAAUUAGUCAUGUUAUUUAAUAUUACAAAAAAUAUACAAUUAAUUUAUUUAUUUAUUUAUUUAAUUUUAAAUAAUGUUACCGAAAGUUUCAAUAUUUUUUUAGAAAAAAGGGAGAGAGAGUUAUAAGUUAGAGAGAGAGAGCAUAAUUAAAAAAAUAAAAAGAAAAAUAUAGUCGAAAUUAGAGGAAGUGGGAGAGUUGAAAUUUUAGAAAGAGAGUGAGAGAAAGCUUAGUUUAGAGAGAGAAAAAAAAGUUAAAUUUUAGAGAGAAAAAUAAGUUUAGAGAGAGAUAUAAGGUUAGAGUGUAAAGAAAAAUAAUAUCAAUUAGCCGGCGGGUAGGAAGAAAGAAAGAGAUUAGACAUAUUAUAAUUAUCCCAAUCCAUUAAUGUGAGGAUAUCCAUCCUCCCUCAAGAGAAUGAGAUUAGUACUUUGGGGUGAAUCUUAUUCUCAAGUGAAUCCAAUAUUACCAACUAGAUUACUUAGUGCGUUUAGCCAAACACCGUCAUAUUUUUUUAUUCCCAAUUGGAUUACUAGGAAUCUUUGAAAGAUAGCGCGAACCAAACGCACCCUUAAUGUAAUUUUUUUAUUUUAGCUUCUGUGUUAUUCUACAUAAAUCAUAAAUCAUAAAAUCCCAAAAAAAAUUUAAAAAAUUAUUGUUUACAAGGGUAUAACCGAUCGAAUUAGUAAAAAAUUUAGCGAAAUAAAUUUACAUAUUUUAAAGCUUUAGAAGGAUAUAUAUUUGAUAAUUUAAAAAUUUACAUAGGUAAAUUCAUAAUUUUAAAACUUUAUAGGAAUACAUUUUAAUUUAUUCUCCAACUGUUGAACUUAGAAAAAAAGAGUUUUUUUUUUCUAAAUAGAAUAAGCGAAAUAAAUAUUAGUGUUUCUAAAUUUAUACAUGUACUUUGCAGGCCCUAUAUUUUUUAGUUCAAUUUAAUAAAUUUUUAAGAUUCAUCGUGACAAAUUCAUUAUAUUAAAGACAAAUGUAAUUAUGUUUUUUGUUUUCUACCGACCUUCGCAUUAAGCACACUAUUUUUUAUUAUAUAUUGGAUUACAUUAAUUAAUUAUAUAUAUAGGUAACACCUAAAAUUAAGUCAACAAGACUUUUGACUUUAAAAUUUUAAUAUAUCGUUUAUCUUUACAGAUUUACUUAAUAUAUUUUAUUCAAUUCUUACAACUAUAAAUUCAAUAAAACAAGUAAUUAGCUUUUGAAGUCAAAGUGUGGUUGACGGACUCGAAUAAAAUAAAUUUAAAAAGUUAGAUAGUGAAAUCAAAAUUUCAAAAAAUUAAAUAGCUGACUAAAAAUGAUUCAUAAUUCAGAUAAGUUCUGCACGUUUCUACCAACAUUUUAUAAGACAGUAAUGCUAUAAAUAGAUACAAUUCACUAGGGGCAAUUAGUUUCUCUAAAUUUAAAUAUUAUUGACUAAUUGAAAAAACUUAAAAAUUAAAACCUUACAUUACGAGGCUCUCAAUCGAGAGACGAUCAAAUCAACUAUUUCACAGGAAUUGACAAAUAGAUUCGUUAAUUAUAUGUGAUAGUCGACCAAUUAAAUAGUUUCUCUACUGGAGGCUAGUUUUUCACGUAAAUUUUAUUCGUUGUAUAUUUAAAUCGAUUACUCCACGCAUUUUAUUAAAAAAAAAGAUUUUUAUUGAAUCAAUUACUUGAAUCAUGUAAGAACAAUGAGAUGUCCAAUCAAGCAAAACAGUGUCAUUAAAAAAAAAAAUUAAUCAGAAAAUCAUUAUUUCUACGUGGAGGCCCCAGCAUCCAAUAGUGUUCGGUGCGCACGAUGUACGGAUGCACCGGGUCCAGCGAAAAUCUCCUAGACCGGAAAGGUGGAUGCGGAGUCGACCACAAAACCCGCGUCAACAGCUCGGCCCGACUAAUCGGGGCGCUCAAACUAAAAACUCGCCGAUUUUUUCUCACACAAUAAUAACAAAUAUAAAAUAAUAAUAAUAAUAAUAAUAAUAAUAAUAAUAAAAAUAAAUAAAUAAAUAAAAGUGUUGUUAGAUCCCGCAACGGAGGCGUCGGGCGCGGUAGCGCGACAACGACCACCGAACUCCGAAGCUACGCUAUAAUCCGCUAACCUGCGCCACCCCAAACAAACCAUGGUUAAGCUAACGUGCGCCGCCCCCAGGUAAGGUUAACCCCUGGUUGAGAGAAAUUAUUAUCUCCUGCAUCCGGUGUAUCCGUGCUCCCCCUGCACCGCCCGCUAAAAAUAACACGUCACAGGCCUUAAAAUUAAUUUCUCUUUUUUCUUAAAUAAUAAUUGCCUAUAUAACAUCAAAACUUCAAAAAUAUCUAAUUUAUCCAUAUUUUUUAUUUCUAAUAUAUCCCUCGUAUGUUUCUCCGUUAUACAACGUGAGUUAAAUAUCUACUAGAGUUUUUUAAAAAAUAAAAUUAUUUCUUUUAUCUUUACUUAAGGGCAAAUAAGAAAAGUUGGUAACAGUAGGAUAUAUUUGAAAAGACUAAAAAUUAAAAUACCUUUUUUAUCCCCAAUUUAAUGGCAAAUAAAAAAAACAGAAUUUCACAAAGAUAACGGCUUAAUUCUGAAAUAACUUGAAAAGUAAAUUUUUUUUUUUUUUAAUAUUAGCCUUUUAAGAAGAAUAAAUUAGAAAAUGAGAAAUUUUUUAGGAGUAUAUAUGAGCAAUCGGUCCUUUUCUUUAAGAUGGUGCAAUGCAGAGAGGUUACUAGGGAUGCAAAUGGAUUCGGAUUGGUGGAGCUCCGCCCCGAUCAGCCCCGAAUGGGGUGGUAAGUGGGAACAAAAAAUAUAGAAAAAUAUAACCCGCCCCGAAUCCGCCCCGAUCCGCCAAGUAAAUGAAGCGGGAGGCGAGAGACUCUUUUUUUCCUUCAAUCUAUCCCGAUCCGUUAAAAAUCCGCUCCCGCCCCGCUCCCGCCCCGAUCCGCCCCGAAUGGAGCGGUAAGUGGGAGGCAAAAAUAAAAUGAAAAGUAAUCCGCCCCGAAUCCGCCCCGCCCAGAUAAAAAAUGGAGCGGGAGAUGGGGAAACUCUCCCGCCCCCGAAUCCGCCCCGUUUGCAUCCCUAGAGGUUACGGUGCGUGAAGUGCACGGAUGGACGGGGUGCAUGCAAUAGUUUAGUUUCCAUGCAGGGGUGGGUCCCACGGGAGGUUUCGUGAGUUGUGACAGCAACGAGACAAGACGUCAGCCGCAGUACCCGACGAUGUGCCCGCGCGCGGGAAAGGGGUGGGGGGGGGAAGUGUAUUGCAGGGCUGCGGGACCACGUGGGACGGGAGGGAGUGGGCGCGGGGUCACGCGCGUGGGUGCGGCAAUUUUCUGUCGCGUCGAUGCUCGCAUGCGACGCGACAGGAGGAGAGUGGUGGGGGGCGGGGGGCGGUGUGUGGGCCGCGGCCGGUUGGUGCCUCUCUUGGAUCUUCUGUCGUUCGGGUGAAAACUUUUCCCGGUUUAGCUUAGCCCUUACACCCGAUCCGACCCGAGUCUGUGACGCCUGUCAAUAUAUUAUAUAUAUCAUAUAUAAUAUAUAUAUAUAUAUAUAUAAUAUAUAUAUAUAUAUAUAAUAUAUAUAUUAUAAUUAUAGUACAUAUAUACAUGAGAGAGAGAGAAAUGAGUGAAAUACUAUUAUAAUAUUUUUAAAUUUUUUUUAUCAAAUUUUUAGUCGUUAAAUCCGUAUACUUUUAAUCAAUUCCAUCAGUAAAUCAUAUACAAUUCAACAACCAAUUUAUUCACUCUAGAUGGACCAUCACUAAUCAUAGGUUCGGAGGCUUGCCUAUGAUACUUAACCCUUGCCAAUUUUCAUCCAAGCAGUUAAAAACUCGAUAGCUAAUGAGCCCAAAUUAUAGUAUUCAAUGCUCAAUUAUAUAUAUAUAUAUAUAUAUAUAUAUAUAUAUAUUAUGGCUACAAUAGUAUCGAUAGCACCAAGUUUUUCGCCGUUUGAUCUAUCCAUUUAAUUAUUUUUAUCCGUUAAAUCAUAUUAUUCAACCAACCACUGAUUCAACCUUAGGGAUCACUAUCAUCCUAACCACACAUCUAUCCAUCUAAAUGGUCCAAAUUUCAGGUAAGUUCCGUAACAAUUUUACCUUUUCGUUGUAAAGAUAUAUAAAAUAUAUUUGAACUAUGGAUCAUGUUAAAUCGAAUAGUAAAUGUUUCAAAAUUUUGAUUUUACCAUCUUUAAAGAUGGGUUGAUAAUUCAGCUAUGUUCCAGACAAAUUUAGCUGGACCCCACAUGUUUUAAUUUUAUGGACUAAUCUUAUGAAUAUCACUCAAUACUACAAAUAUUACAAGAUUAGAUAAAAAGGAUUAAAAAUUUUAUAAAAAAAUUAUAAAAUCAGGUAGAAAUAUUUAUUUUUUUUAAAAAAUAUUUUAUAGUACUGUUUAUCUUUAAUUAAUACUAUUUUCUUAUGAAAAUUGACUCUAAAUGAAACAGCUGUUGGAGAUGAUAAAGAUGUUACAAGUUGACAUGUUGCUCUCACGGCAACUAUUCCCAUCUAUUUCUUUGUCCUAUGCCAAGAAAAUGAAACAUAGCUUAUUUUAAUUCAUUAAAACUUAGAUGAUUUAGAUAUUUAACUAAUGUAUUAAUCGGAUCCAAAUUAAUUUUUAUUAGAGAGAAUGAAAAGCUUCUCAAUUCUGCAGAAACGUAUUAUCUGCACGUAAUUAUGCGUGUGCAUAAUGAAAUUCACAUGAAAUAUCUCUGCUGUGGAACCAUCAAAUUUUGUCGUUUCUGAAAAUGUCUUUUUUUUGAAUUUUAAAGUAGAAAAUUAAGAAAACAAUUGUUUUUUUUCUUUUUUUUUUUUUCUUUUUUUUGGGUUUGUCACAAUUGGUUUCUUUGGGUUCUCACACACACUCAUCCAAAGUUAUAUAUAUAUAUAUAUAUAUAUAUAUAUAUAUAUAUUAUAUAUAUAUAUUAGUAGUUUUGACUGGGCUACUAAUCGUAGAAACUGCUUCGGUUUACUACGAUUUAUUUUUGAUGAAAGCUUCAAAUCAACUGAAGCAUGCGCACCGUUGAACAUAAUGCUAGCACCAUUUAAAUUAUCUACAAUAUAAUUUCAUUAAUGAACGAUCACGUAGGUCACAAAUCUAUAUUUUAAUGGGCCGAUAUGAGUGGCGUUUGUCGUUUAAUGUAUAGAAGAGUUCAAUCAACCUAAAUUUUGUUUAGAAAAUUCUUUAAAUACUAUUAAAUAAGAUAUAGACGUCUAGAUCUUCAAAUAUAAAAAUUGUAUUAUUCACUUUUUGAAGAUUUCAUUUCCCAGCGUAUUCAUUUUUCUGUUCACAGAUUGAUGGAAAGAGACAAUAUCGAAACUUGUGUGAAAUUUGAUUUACCAGAUAUUUAAAUAGUUAGAUCAUGUUUAACGUCGCGACACCUCAUUGGAAGCUCUAUCAUCGAAAACAAAUCGGUAGUAAAUCGAGCGUUUACGUACGAUAGUAUUCUGCAAAACUCUCUCUCUCUCGCCUCUAUCUCUCUAUAUAUAUAUAGGUCCGGCUACUAUAACUAUCGUAGGCAGUGACUGCCGUGUUUACAGUUUGUUUUCAUAAUGCGACUUCGCAAACGACGAUCGCUCUAUUUAGACUUGAUCUACCACUAUUGAAAGUAAUUUGAAAAUUAAAUUCCAUAAUUUUUUUCGACAUCAUGUUGACUGUAUGAUCAAAAGAUGUCAAAUUGACAAUUUUAAAUGGCCGAUGUGGUGGUAGUUUGAGAGUUUAACGGUUAAAAUCCAAAUCCGAUGAAAAUUUAUAAAAAAUCUAUUUUCACUAUUUACGAGUAAAGAUUCGCAUUAUUGAUCCUGAAUUUAAUUUUUAUAUCAUUUUUUUUUUUUUUUUUUAUGAGAUUUUUAUUUUUAGGUCCGUUCAAUUUUUAAGACUACUUGUCUGAUAGUAAAUAAUAUCGAAAUAUCUAUGAAAGUUAUUUCUAAAUACUUUUAUAUGUUAGAUCAAGUCUAAUUGAGCGAAUCGUCGAUUGAAAAGCCGCAUCAGUUGAAACACAUUUGUAGUAUGAGCCCGUCUGUGCUACGGAUAGUAUAGUGAGCUGGACUCCAUAUAUAUAAUAUCAUAUAUAGUUACGAGACCUGUUUGAUUGCUGCUGUUUGAAUUAGGAUUACAAAAUAUAGGAAAAAAAAGAAGAAAUUUGAUUGGAUAUUUGUAGUCAAUUUUUCGGCAAUGUAAGUGAAUAUAUAAUAUAUAUAUAUAUAUAUAUAUAUAUAUAAUAUAUAUAUAUAUAUUUUUUUCUUUUUUUCCUCCACCUAUUUCUAAUUCUCUUUUCAAUUCAUAGAAUGCCUUAGAUAUUUCAGUAAAAUAUAUAUACUUGAAGUCAUUGCUUUCACGUAAAAUACUGUAAACGCAGGCCUAGAUAAGGUGAUUUUUUUAAAAAAAAAACUACUAAUUAAUAUAGCUAUUUGAAAUUUUAAUUUGCAUAUUUAUUUAUUUAUUUAUUUUCUAUGACAAUUGAAUUAAUGUCUCUUGCCUACUUGAUCCUAAAAAGUUGAAGGGUUUAAAUAAAUUAAUUUGGCUUUAUGGGAGUGUCAAGAAUCUACAUGGCAAUGUGUCGGAGAGAGUGGAAUGUUUCUUUGUCGCAUCUUUUUUUUUUUUUUUCUUGUCUUUUUUUUUUUUCUUUUUUUUUUUUUGGCAUUUAAUGGCCGCUAAUACAGGGUUUUUGUUUAUGCGAUUCAUAUAUGUUGUUUUGAGCAUUUUUCCUAAUGCGGUGUGAAAUGUGAUUCACCUAAACCAGAAACGUCCAUGAUCACCAUGCACCCACACUUUUGGAGUGGCUCUUUUGGGAUGCUUAAUUUAAUAAGGUAUUAAAAAGAAAGAAAAAGAAAAAAAAAACAACAAAUGUGUAUAAUUAGAGUUAAUCAUUUAGGAUUAUCUCCAAAAUUAAGAGUUAAUUAAUUAUUGUUUGGCGAAAUUAGUAUUGCAUCAAAGGUGUGGUAGUUUCAUUCUUUAGAUAGAAAAAUAGGUAAUUAAAAUGUGCAACCACUCUCUGAACUUUAGUUGUUUUGUCAAUAAGGGUCGGAGUGAUUAAUUUUUGGCAAUUGCAUCUCCUAAACUUUAUCAAAUAGUUUAGUAGAUCCCUCUCCUCAAUUGAAAUCAUUAAUUAUACAAUUAUUUUAAUUGUAUGCAUUGUAUAUAGUUUUAUGAAGUUUUUAGAAUGUGAACAAUUUUACUUUUUAUAUUUAAUUUAACGUUUGGUUCAACCCGUUCUUCACUCACCAUGUUUAAUUAUCAAAAUUAGAAGAGAAAAAUAAAUUUUUAUAUAUUUUGAAAAUUUUCAGGAUUAUGUGUCCAACAUCCGAUCAAAACAGUUGUUUAGUUAGUAAGUUCACUUGAGUAGAGGGGUCUGUUGAACUGUUUAAUAAAAUUUAGAAAAAAUUUGUCAAAAUUGAAAAUUCAAAUGUCUACUUGCAAAAGAGAUAAACUUUAGAGGGUCUUUGUACAUUUUACCCUAAAAAGAAAAUAAUAAAGGUCUUUUGGGUUUGUUGCUGUAGUGUUGUUUGAUUAAGAAUGUAUUAAGAUUGUCUAAUGCUAUUGUGCAAAAAGAAUUGAAACUAAAAUAAAUAAAUAAAUAAAUAAUAUAGAGAGAGAGAGAGAGAGACUUUUUUAUUUUUUAGUGGGACAACACAAAUCACAUCUUAAGUGAAUCGACAAAAUCUGCAUGACGAAUCGACGCGUUUAAAAACAAAUUAAAUUUUUUUUUUUGCAUCACGCAUUCUAAUUAUGCACGUCCUCAUCCUGCAUCUCCGAAUACGGUCUAAGUGAUUUUGAAAAGUCAGAUCAAGUGAAGCACUAUAUUAAAUUCCCCUUCGCCAAUAACAAAAUCGGAAUAUUCGAAUGGAAUCUCAACUCUUUACCAUCAAAAGGUAACCUUAUUACACUUACCUCUAUCGCAAUAUUGUAUACUUUUCUAAUCGAUAAAUUCAUUAUUAGAAAUAACUGUAGCUAAAAGCUGAAACAGAAACACCGCGAAAAAUAGGUUCUAGGAGAGAGAGAGAGAGAAGAAAAGGCCAAGGCUACACAAAGCAAUGAAAAGAAGAAGAGCCAAGUAAUAAGAUGCUUUAUUUGCCAUGUGAUGAUGCUCCAUUGGAUCAAAUGGCCCAGCUGUACCUCUCAUGUUGCUUCCAAUCAUAGGCACUGAAACUUUUUCAUACCCCCACCUUUUUCUUUUUUUUUUUUUGACCAAAUUAAAUAAAGCAUAAAUUAAAAAGACCUACUGUGGGGGACAUAUGCAUGGGUCUACACUUCACCCAAUUAAAAAGGACCAUGUGCUUGUCCUUUGUAACCUCAACAAUUUAAUUCCUUACAACAUGGGAAUGACCUUUCAACUGUACUCCAUAUUUAUUUUUAGAUUAAAACUAUGUACGCUCUAAUUUAUCCUCAGCAUAUGAAGUAUAUGAUUUCAUGUGUCAUACUAAAUAUAUAUAAUUCUAACUUCUAAUUAUAGACAAGUUCCACUACGUGUAGUUAUUGCAAGUUUAUAUAUAUAUAUAUAUAUAUAUAUAUAUAUAAUAUAUAUAUAUAUAUAUACUAUAUUAUAUAUAUAUUAAAUAUAUAUAGUUGAGCUAUUGAUACUUUAUACAACGUAUUCCCUCAUGGUGCUAUUAGGGUUUAAAGCUAUUGGAUCCUAAUUUUGUGUAUUAUUUAGCCCUUGGUAUUAAACACUAUAACACUACCACCACGCUACCACCAUUCAUCUCAACCUCACAUCUCAUCCACUCAAGCUAAAAACACACAAAUAUCACCCCCCCCAUAUACUUUUACGAGUUAUUAUAGCCCUACUCAUAUAUAUAUAUGAUUAUAUAUAUAAUUAUAGAUAUUAUAAUAUAUAUAUAUAUUAUAUAGUCCAGCUACUAUUCUAUUUAUAGGAUAGAAACACUUGUCCUAUCAAGUCCGUUUGAAUGCAUCUGGAACUUUCAAAUUGUAUAACUCGGCCACCGUUGAAAUUGAUCUACACACUAAUUAGAAAUGUUUAGAAAACCAAAUUUUAAUAUUUUAAAAAUCUAUUAUCAGGUUAAUCUUUAGAGUAAAAAAAAAUGACACGGUCAUAAAAUGAAUAAAUUUUCUGUAAAAUAGAGAUUAGAUUUUCUCCAAUUAUAAUUGAUUAUCAAAACAUUACCUUAAAUAGGUUAAAAGAUUUUUUUAUUCAAAAAAUUUAAGCCAAUUUGGAUUUGCUCUUACACCUGUAAACAAGCAAACCGGCUCAUAUUAGGCCGUAAAAAAUUUCAUUUACGAUCACUUUUGACUCACCAUGCUAGAAUAAUUUUUAAAAAUUUAUGAAUUUAGUUUCUAGAAGUUUUCAAAUACUUCUAGAUCAACUUCAACCGCUCCGAUCAUCAAUCGGAAUCUCUACAUUACAGAACAUUUGAUAGACAAGUGCUACUAUCCUCAUUAAAUAGAGAUAGUAAGCUGCUAGCUAUUAUAUAUAUUAUAUAUAGAGUCAUGAGAGAGGAGAGAGAGAGAGAGAGAGAGAAGCGAGGAAGAGAGAGAGAGAGAGAGAGAGAGAGAGAGAGAGAGAGAGAGAGAGAGAGAGCAGGACAACUGUGCCAUAUGAGUCCGGCUGGAAUACUAUCGAUAGCAUUAUGUAUUUGGUGCUAUCAAGUUUUACGCCGUUAAAUUUAACCCUUUGACUAUUUUCACCCGGUAGAUUAUACUAUUAACAAACAACUCACUUAACCUAGGGGGCCCACAUCAUCUUAACCAUAUAUUUUUUAAUCCAAGGACUAAAAAUCUAAAAGCACUAAAAUGUUUAGUGCUAUUGAUAGUAUUCCAGCCUAGGUCUCUCUCUCUCUCUCUCUUCUCUCUCUCUCUCUCUCUCUCUGCUCUCGUCCUCUAUAUUAUAAUAUAUAUAUAUAUAUAUAUAUAUAUAAUAUAUAUAUAUAGGGUCCGACUACUAUAACUGUUAUGAUCGAUCGCCCCUCGUACUCAUAAGUUGUUUUCGAUGAUAGAGCCUCCGAAUCGACGAUCCACACCUCCCCCCUCGUGCACGACGCCCUCCUCCUGAAGGCCCUUCUGCACAAAAAAUAUAAAAAAAAGAAAAGAAAAAAAAAACUGCCCGAAGCCACCCUCCUCUAAAACCCAAAAAAAAAAUCCUUAAUACAAAUUUUUUUCAACUUAAUAUACCAUCUACCCCCGCACGCCUACUUGAAGCAUUCCCUCCUUCUCAACCCAACACAAACACAACACACAUAAAAAGAAAAAAAAAAAAAAUCGCUGCAACCAGCCAACCACCCUCCCAAAAACCAAAAGAAAAGAAAUAAAUUUUCUUAAUGCAAUUUUUUUAUUUUUUUUUUUCAACUUAAUAUACUAAUUUAACAGCGAUCUCUUCUCGCGGUGGGGCCGGCGAACCACGAGUAGAGUUGAGGCAGAGAGGCGAAGGAGAGAGAUUGGGGAGGAGAGAAGAGAGAAAGGAAAAAAAAAAAAAGAAAAGUAAAGAAAGAGAGAGAGAAAGUGCUUCUUAGUGGCUCCGUUACUUCUAACCCACCUAACAGUAGAACCACUUGGUUAGGGUGGGCUCUAAAUCCAAGCCCUCUAUCUAUACAAGAUGGAACUGCAGAGAGUUCUUAAUAGCACAGGCUGAGCACAGGCAGCCCUACUUUUAUAUAUAUAUAUAUAUAUAUAUAUAUAUAUAUAUAUAUAUAUAUAUAGUUGAGCUAGAAUACUAUCGAUAGCAAACGGGCUCCGUUGCCACCCAUUUAUUUUCGAUGAGGGAGCCUCCAAAUCGACGAUCGGCACCCUUAAAUAUAAUCUAUACCACUUGAAGUAUCUAGAAAUCAAAUUUCAUACUUUUCCGACAUUGUUCUCUUGUCCAUCAAGUGGGCGUAAAAAUGAACGGUUGAAAAUGAAUAUCCUCUAAAAAGUGAAAAAUGAACGGUUGAAAAUGAAUAUCCUCUAAAAAGUGAUGAUAGAAAUUUUAUAAUCAUGAUCGAGAGUAUAGAUCUUGUUCUAAAUAGUUUAAAGAAUUUUCUAACCAAAAUUCAAUUGAUUUGGAUAGCUUUACACCGUUAAACGUGAAAACACCUCAUAUCUACCACUAAAUUUAUAAAUUUUGAAAUCUUUUGAUUAUUAGGUCAAUGAUAUCGAAAAGAUUUGAAAUUUGGUUUCUAGAUAUUUCAAGUGGUAUAGAUCAUAUUCAACGGUGCCGAUCGUCGAUUUGGAGGCUUCAUCAUCGAAAACAAAUGGGUGGCAACGGAGCCCGUUUGCUACCGAUAGUAUUCCAGUUCAACUCUCUCUCUCUCUCUCUCUCUCUCUCUCUCUCUCUAUAUAUAUAUAUAUAUAUAUAUAUAUAUAUACACACACACAAAACAUCUUUUAAAAGUUCUUACACGUCGGAUGUCAAAUUUGAAAGUUUGGGAACCAAAAUGAAAUUCCAAAAAAUUUAAUGGAUAAAUAUAUAUUGGUUUAUAUUAUAUAAAAAUUUAUUUGAUUUGAGUUAAACGGUUAUACUUUUAGUUAAUUAGUGGUCAUGUGGGAUAGUCGAGUUGUUGAAGAACAAAGAUUCCGGGGUCAGAGCCUGGUAGGGCUGGCAAAUGAGCGAGCCGGCUCGCAUUCGACUCGCGUUCGACUCGAUAUUUGGCUCGUUCGAGCUCGGGACUCGAAAUUAAAGCGCCGAGCUUGAACAAAAAAAAAACAUCGGAAAUUCAUUUCAAGCGAGCUUGAGUAUUAUCGGGGUUCGAUUAGGCUCGAAAGUUCGAAUAUAUUGCUAAUAUAUAUAAUUUAUAUAUAUAUAUACUAUAUAUAUAUAUAUAUAUAUAUAUUAUAUAUAUAUAGUAGAGCUACUAUGCUAUCGAAAAUAUAGAAAUAUUGGUGCUUUCGUUUUUGAUUCUUAGAUCAAUCCCUUUAAUGUUUUUUAUCUUUGGAUUAAUAUUAUUAUUACCUUGUAGGGACCACUCAAUCCUAAGAAUAUCAUUUAACCUAGAGGAGACCGCAAUCAUGCCCAACCAUACAAAUUUUUUAAUUAAAGGGUUCAAAAUUCAAAAACAUCAAAUCUCUAUAUUUUCGAUAGCAUAGUAGUUCUACACUAUAUAUAUAUUAAAAAAUAUAUAAAUAAAUAUAUUUUAAUUAUAUAUAGGCUGAGUGAAUAAUUUGAGUUUAGUUAAAAUUAGGCCAAUAUUGUUGGCCCAUAAAAAUAAAUUCAAUAUCAAAUAAAAGAGCAAAAUUUUACUAAAUUUAUAUAUUUUUUCUUUCUUUCUUUCUUUCACAGACAGCUCUAAUUUUUAAUAUUUCUCUCUUUUUUCUUUUUUCUUUUCUCACCCUAAGUUGCCAAGCCGGUAAGCCUCUAAGUUAUCCAAGUACAUUCAUAUGCUCGCCGUUGCCUACCUCGUAUUAAUUGUAUGCUUGAGAAACAUAUAGAAUAUUUUUAAAGUAAAAAUUAUUAUUCAUUAUAAAAUUUUAAUUUUAGUUAUAUAUGAUUGGAUGUUUAAUCAAUAUUUAUCUAUAUAAUUUAUUUAUUUUUGACUGCAUAAAUAAAAUGAAAUAAUAUAGGAUUGGAAGCGGAAAAAGACAUGUGAGGCUGAAAAAAUUAGAUUAUUCAACUCAUAAUUAUUUUUUUAUAUUAUAAUUACUAUUUUUAUAUAAUUAUUUUGUACUUUGAAUUAUUAGACAUAUUUUUGUAUCAAAUUAUAGAUAAUAUUUUAUACAAAUUAAACUAUUGAUCGUAUAAUGUUUAGAAUUUCAAGUGGCUCGUUUAGGGCUCGAGCUCACUCAACUUGAAAUUAGACUCGCUCGAGCUCGGCUCGAAUUAAUUUUAAUCCAAACUUGAGCUUAAAUUUAGGCUCGAAAUUAAUUUCAAGCCGAAUUUGAGCCGAGAUAAGCUUGCUCGAGCUCUGCUCGUUUCCACCCCUAGAGCCUGGGCCACAUUCCCGCACGUGACUGGAGGGGCACGCGCACGUGACGCCCUGGGUCCGCACCGCGCGGCUUAUGCGGCGCCGCCUCACCGGUCGCAUGAGGUGCACCCGCACCGGCGCACCCGCACCGGCCGUUGCGUUAGAUAUUUGGGAAAUAUUCACAAAGACCCCUAACCUUUUAAUUUUCGCAAUUUAAAACCCAAACCGUAACGUACAACAAACUUUACUAUUUACACAGAUAUUUUUUAUCCAAUAUGGUGUUUAUAAUCUCGCAAGAUUUAAAAGAUAAAAAAAAAUCUAUUUUUUCGCUUUCAAUUUUGAUAAAUUUUUUUUAUAAAUCAUAUGCAAAAUAUAUGACUAAAGUAGAUAUGUAAUUAGUAAUUUCAAUUGAAGAGAGGUGCCUAAUGAACUAUUUUGUACAGUAUGAGAGGUCUAAAUGCAAAAAUUUAAAGUUCGUGGGGUCUCUGGACAAUUUUCCCUUGAUAUUUUCUAACCCCGCACCCAAGCCCCAUGUGGGGGACCCUUAUGCGGUUCAAUGUAUCUAAAUACGAUUAAUUAAUGAGGGUUUAAUCUAAUGGAGUUGAGAUUUGUCUAAUUAGUUAUUAUACUUGCUUAAUUAAGUAUUUUUGGGGUAACAAGCGUGGUUAGUCCCUACAUUAUUCUGAUAUUACAAAUUUGUCCCUGUGUUUCUCAUGUAAAUAUGUAUAUUAUUAUUAUAUUAUAAUAUUUUGUUCUUAAUUUUUGAAAUAUAUGAGUUUUCCUAAUGUGAUCUCCAAUGAAGUAAUAAUUAAUUACAACUGUGUCCAAUGUUAAUAUAUUGAUGGAAUGCUUAAACAUGAUCUUUGGAUUCUAACAUUGAUUUGUAAAACAUUAUAAAAAAAAAAAGAAGCAUUAAUUAAUAGCAUUAAAAAUUAAUAAAAAAUACUCCCACAAAGUAGCUCAACUGUCUCUUCUUUGUGGAAGAGAAAAACAAACUUUGUGGGUUAAUUAAGUUGGCCUAAUACAUCUAUCAAAUAGAGAGAAUCACAUGAUAUUUGUAGGUUAAUAAAAUAAUUUUUUUUUAUAUUAUUUCAUAUAUAGAUUUAAGAAUAGAUUUAUGUGUGUAAUGUUAACAGGUCGAUUUCAGUGUGGUUUUCGUAAAGUUGCGUAUUUAGCUCACAAAAGCUUGAUAAGGAUAAACUCAGGGUGCAUGUCACUAUUAGUACUAAUUAAGGUGUUGGCUUAUGUGUAAGAAAUAUAUCUUGGAAAAAAUAUAUGGUUAUAAUGGUCAUGUUGAUAACAUCCUAAUAAAUGCUUGGUCAUAAUAAUCUUGGUAGGAGCAAUAUCUUAGCAAAUAUAUGUUAUAUUAAUGAAAAAGACAAAACCCUUAAUUUCAUAAGGUAAAAUAUAAUAAAUAUGAGAAAGGUAUUUAUACAACGAUGGCAUAUUUUUUUAUAGAAAAGGUAACAUGCUGCCGCUUUAUUCGUUAAGAAGGAUAAAUUUAGCUGUAUAAAGCAGGCAACUUGGGUCUCGAGAAAAAGAAGACAACAAAAUAGAGAAAAGAGAAAGUGACGAGGAAAAGGAAGAAAGAGAUACAGGAAGAGGGAAAGAAAAAGGGGGUCUGAACUUUAACUAUAUGACUCAAACCAAUCUGCUGAAAGCCCACUAAUUUUAGACGAAACAAAAGAAGGGUUCUAGCUUUUAUUCCUGAAACUAACAUUACUUCUCUCGAGCAAGACAGUCCGCCAUGAGAUAACUUUUUAUGUUAAAUAUAUAUAUUUUUGGAUCCUUUUACAUGGAAUCGAGUUUUUCUGAAUAGUGUGGUAUCAGAACCAGUCUGAAGCUUUCGCCGUUCUGUGAAAUUGUGAUUUCGACUUCACCUUCUACAGUUAACUGAUUAAAAUUUUAACCGUCAAUUUCACAUGUCAUUUGUAUUCAUCACAUAUACGAGCAAAGUUUUCUAUUAUAUUAGUGGAUUAUGAGUAGGACGAAAAACUUAACCAAACCAUAUAAGCCAAAAUGAUGCAUAAGUUAGGUUUAAGCUUUCUUCAUUUGCUUAAUCCUCAUCCAUCUUUGUCCUAAGAAUGUUAGAAAUGGAAGUCAAAGAUUCCUAAAUGAGGUUUUUUUACUUUUGUUUGUUCAUGUCUUUGUCAAUCAUGUCCACCCUAACCAACAACUAAAUUCCAACAAGUAACAAAAACACCUAAGUUUUGUAUGAAUUCACAUUUGUCAACUAAAAUCCAACAACUAUGACAACCCUAAUGAUCAACAUUAACUACAUUCCAACAAAUACCUGGAUUUGUAUGGAUUCAUCAUUUUCUUAUCUUGUUCAUUAAGUAUUUGAAGAUUCAUCAAAGCAUUCUGAGCCGUAAUUAAAUUGACUUCUACAGACCUGUUUAGCCCUACUUCUGUUUCUCCUUUCAUGUACGAAAAUGUAAUUUCAGAAUCCUACCUAUCAUAAGAGAUAAGUAGUUUCGCUGAAUUUAAUAUAAUUUUCUUUUUUUUUACUAGUACUACUCAAAUAACACUUUACUAAAUUGGCCUUAAGUGGAUCAACUUGUUGAGUAAUAUAAUUCAAACCAAAUGAAAAAUGUUUCCAAGUAAUGGGCUUCAAUUAAUCAACUCUAAAAAUUGAUUACAUUAACCAAACGCCACAUCUAUAUAUUAGGGCCGAUAUCCGAAUAUUACUAUGUACGAAAAUAAUUAGUUCUAAUAUAUCUCUAAUAAACAUAAUCCAUAAAAAAUAACCAAAUAACCAGACUCAAAAUAAUAUAUAGUAAUAUAUAUAUAUAUAAUAUAUAUAUAUAUAUACUAUGAUAUAAUAUAGGUAUAUAUUAUAUACUAUAAUAUAUAUAUAUAAAAUUUCAGAAAAAUAAUCUAAAAAGAUAAAAACGGAGGCCAAUCAGCCAUAAUUGCUAUGCUGUUGACAGGUAAACCUUGAAAAGUGUUUUCCGAAUUAGAGUUGUAAGCUGAAAUCUGAAGCUCGUGCAAAAUGUUAUGGUUGUUAAAGAUUUUCAACUCAGCUUCAUUGAUCGCAUUUUUCAGGAACUUGACGCUAAAUUAGCUGCAUCAAAACCACAUUCACCCCUUCAUAAUUAAUUUGACUAAGAGGCUAUGAUGCAACUCUACCAUGUGCACCAAAUCCAUGCUCAUUGCAAACAAAUCUUUGUUUCAUUUUAUUAAUCCUAACUAUAGAGGGGUGAGGGGUUAGAAAAUAGAGGCAAAAACCAAGACCAUAUCACACAUUUGACUAGGGUUUUCUCAUGUUGCAUGACUAGUAAAACUACCAAAAAAAAAAAAAAAAAGAAAAAAAAAAAGAAAGAAAAAGAAAGAUGUGUUGAUCCCUAGAUAAACCUAUCCUACUUUUGUGCGCCAAAUUGUUAUUAAUUAAUGGGUGUUAUUUAAGGUGCUCAACAAGGAAAGGACAUGGAUUAAUUAGUUUAAGCUAGUGUUUCCCAAAGUGUUUUUUUUUUAAAAUUUGGGUAAAAUGUAUGGAUGGUCCCUACACUACCUCCUUAUUCUAAAAUGUAAAAAUUAGGUCCUUUUAUUUUUAGGUUCAGAGGCUAAAACGUUUACAUGAAUAUCAGGAUAGUAAAGGACUAUCCAAAAUUUUACACAUUUUUUCUUAUAAUUAACAUAUUUAAUAUAUAUAUAUAUAUAUAUAUAUAUAUAUAUAUAUAUAUAUAUAUAUAUAUAUAUCUGUGUGUGUGUGUGUGUGCACACUUGGGUUUUCUAAGUUUGACUAAGACAAGUCAAUGGACCAAGCUAAACCCUGUUCUUUGUUUAAUCCCAUAUUAUGAUGCUAAAUAUGGUUGAGUUCAAGCAUUGGAAAUGUGAACAUUUAUAUAUACAUAUAUAUAUACUUUGGGAAUAAUAAUGUGACAUCACAUAAGAAUUGCUUGUAAUUGAAUAAUCACAUGGACUUUGGUUAACAUUGCCAUAAGUAAUUAGGUAGAUGAUUCAAAAGGUUUUGUACUAAUUUUUUUUAAAAUUGUUGGGAUCUGUGCACUAUUAUGUUGUUGACACUUCAUCUAUUUUAUGGUAGGUCACACUACAUGAGUCUUGAUCAAGCAACAUUGUUUGAUUUGUAGUUGUGUUCUUUGAAGUUAAGUUGGGCUACAAACGGGCUUGCUCGGCCCAGCCCGGCCCGGCCCGGCCGACACCUUCAGCGCGUGGUGAGAAAGUGCGACGGGAAACAUAUUUGUUCGUUUUCAUAAGCGAGAACUAGUUGCGCUUGGUGAGAAAGUACGAUUUGACACUUACUGUCCGAUGACGGGGACCAUGUUGGUGCGACGGGUUGGCCCCCGGUCCGUUGCGGUGGAUGUGGGUCGUGUUGCCCAUAUCGCGCCCCUACUUUUGUUCCAACACUUUUGGACCAAGCGCGAACGGAGCUGAGAAGUAUCCAUACAAAAUCUCGGCCCAAAAAAAAUCCACAUUACUGGGCCACAAGCCCAUUUAUGGUUGGAUUCAAACUCAAAAUAGGGUUUGAUCAAAUUAAAUUCUAAAGGACAAGGCAGAUUAUGCAUUGCGCUCUCGUCUUUCGUAUCGCAUGAUGAUUCAUCGAUCAUUACCAUGCAUAAGCGGUGGUGUUAAGAUUAUUACUGAAUCAUUUCAUUUUCAGUCGAGUUAGUUAGUAACAAUAAUCUCGAAAUUAUGAUCAUUUUUUGACUAUCAAACGUAACAUCAAACAUCGACUUCGACUACGGUUUGUUUGUUUUGUAAAAUCAAGUGCAGAACUAACUAAACUAACUCAAGAAUGCCAAAGAUUGUAGUGUUCAGAAUCAGUGAGAAAAUGAGGUGAGCGACAAAUAAAGAUACACAGUAUAUUAAAGGGGAUCAGAAAUAACCGUACGCCACCUUCAACUUCGAACACACAUUUCGAUAUUCGUUUUUGAGUAGUAACUGAAUAUUAUAUACCAUGCACAAACUUGAAACAUAGAUAACAUAUAUAUAUAUAUAUAUAUAUAUAUCUAUAUAUAUAAGGUGAGCUGAUCUAUUAUAAAUAUAAAAGAUCCCCCAACAAUAAUUUACAAAAAGCAAUAAAGGGAAAAGGAAAGGAAAAAAAACAUGUUUAAUGUUGCCAAAAUUGGAAAAUUUUCUAAUUCCAAUUUGCCCCUAACAAAUUAAAUUCAAAAUAUAAUAACCUUUCUACUACAUUGGAACAAACACACUUCUUGUAGUAUCCCUAUUGUGCCAUUUCCCAAUUCAGCUUAGAAGCAACUCUUUAAUGGCAAGGAAAAUAAUCCUAGGAAAAGAAGAAGAAGAAGAAGAAGAAGAGAAAUUAAACCCAAAUUUAAUAUUUUUCACACCAACAUUAUUAUAAAAGAUGGUUGAUACAUAAAUGAGACAAUAUAAUGUGAUAAAAAAAGGGUUAAAAAAGAUGUUUUACAACAAUAUUUCUUUGCUCAAAAUGUGUCCUCAAGUAAGAUAUUAUCAUAUAUACAUAUAUAUCUGAAUAAUUAAGUAGUACACCAUGCAUGUAAAUUUACUUUUCAAACUCUUAUAAAUUCAAUUCAAGUGAUGUGCUUUUAAUUAAUCUUAUUACCUCUAAUUUCUUGACCAAUUCCUUCGCGGUUGGAGCUAAAACAAUGAUAUGUCGCGCGCUAGGGCUAAUAAAACCAUCCUCAACAGCUUUAUCAAUGAAGCAUAAAAGUGAGUUGUAGUAUCCAUCUACAUUGAGCAAUCCCACCUACAAAUUUUGAAUUUGGAAGUGAAUAAUUUUGCAUCUCAAUACUGUAAAAAAUCCAACAAUGAACAAUCAAAAAGGAACUGAUUAAGGAACUAAUUAAUUAAAUCAUUUGCAUGUGAAUUAGGAAUGAGUUUUGUGAGAAAAUUUAAUUACUGGCUUGUCAUGUAUGCCCAGUUGAGCCCAUGUGAUUACUUCAAGUAGCUCUUCUAGAGUUCCAUAUCCCCCUGCAUACUAAUCCAAAUUAGUGACAAGAUUAAACUAAUUAUAAAAACAUUGAUGAUGCUCUAAUUCUAAUGAAAAAAAAAGUUUGACUUGAACUCAGUUACUAGAGGUUGUGGGUUGAUGCCUCAUUUUAAUUGUUUAAUGGGUUAAAUUUUUAUCUUUUACCCGUUUCGUUAGACGAAAUUUUUCCUAAUCUCUUUGAUGCAUGUUAGGAGGGUGUAUUCCUAACGUAAACCAAGGGCUUUUUUUGGAUAUCAGAAUAAGUUAUUCUGUAAUAUCUCAUAUUUUAUGAGGUUUUUUUUCUUUUUUAUAGUUGCAAGGUCUUGGAAGCCGGGGUUUAUUAGGAUGAUAAUAUAAUUUAUCUAUGAUAUGAUUUAUUUUAUUUUAAAAAGAUGACUGAAAAGCUAUUCAUAAUAUGUUAUUCUAAACAUAUAGAUUUACUUCUCAUCUAUCAAGUACUAUAAAUAUUUUAAGUAAACAAAAAAAUAUAUACAGAAUAAAUUAUUCAUGGAUAAAAAAAAAAAAGACUCCUAGGAGCUAACAAUAUAUGCAAUUAAGAGAAAGUCAAACAUGGAGCUUGCCAUUUUAUUUAAGUGCAAAAAGACAAGGAUGUUUUUUUUUUUUUUUUUUUUUUUUUUUUUUAAUCUCUAUUUAAGUGCCUUCGGCCUAUAGAAACAAACUGGGCGGAUUCAGGGACGGGAGAGGUCCCCACCUCCCACCCUUUUUUAAGGCAGGUCAAACUGUCAAAGUGGAUUUACUUUAUUUUAUGGUUAAUUGUAUAUAAUUUUCUAUAAACAUACCGAAUAAUAAAUAUAUAUCUCUACAAAAUUCAACUUUUUAUUUUUAUCUCUGCAAAAGUUUAGUAAUAUUCAUAUUUAUUACUCUGGUUGUUAUCGUUAAAGUAGCAGAUCGAUAAGUGAAAUGAUAUUUUGGUUCUUACAAAUAUAUUCCUCCAAAAGUCCUAAUUAUUAGAAUUAUGCAGAAAUAUCCUUAUAGAAAAUAUUUUACCCAAUAAUAUAAGAAAAGUAAAAAAAUCAAUUUAACUCAUUCACUAAUCAGGGUUAAAUAUUUUACUCAUGUUAUAUUUUUUCAAAGAUACUAACGGAGUAUAUUUGAAGACAUUAGGACUAAUACUUUUGGAGGGACAAAAAAUAAAAAGUUGAAUUUUGUAGAAAUAUAUUUGUUAUUUCGAUAUGUUUACGAGGAGCUAUACACAAUUAACGCUUUAUCUUAUUCUUUUACCUUCACUUACUGUUUCAUUCGGAGACAGAAUUUUUCGCAAUUUUUUUGACAGAUUAAAACAGAUCGAGAGAAGAAAGGGAUCCCCCAUCUUCCACUUCAUUUUCUUACUUUAGAUUCGAAAUGAAUCAUUAUUAUUCUUUUUUUUACUUCUGACUCCCACUUAUCACGUCAUUCAGGAUAGAUCGGAACGAAAGCUCGACCACUCCGGAUCCAUUUAGGGAUGUCAAUGGAUAUGGAUACCUGAAAUUUUAUCCGAACCCGAAACCGAAUAAAACGGAUAUAUCUUAUGCUAAAUGGAUAUGGAUUCGGAUAUGAAUUUCAAAAAUAGAAAUCCGACGGAUAUGGAUUCAGAUAUAGAUUUUAACUGUACCGGACCCGAACCCGAACCCGAAUUUAUUUUGUAUUUUAUAUAUAUAUAUAUAUAUAUAUAUAUAUAAAUUUGAUGUUAUAUUUAAAUUUAUAUUUUAAAAAUUUAGAUUUAAUAUAAUAUAUUUUGAAUAUUGAAAAAAAAAAAUUGUUUCGGGUUCAAAUUUUCGAGUUUGGGUUCGGAUUCGGAUUUCGGAUUUUUGUUCGGAUUCGGGUUCGGGUUCGGGUCUCGGGUUUGGAGUCGGGUUCGGAUUCGGAUUUUUGAAAAUUCGCCCUGAAUCCGACCCGUUGACAUCUCUAGAUCCAUUUGCAUCCAUACUUGGGAUGGAUGUAUAUAUCUUAUCAGUGGUAAACAUAUCUGCAGGUGUAUAUAUAGGAAUCACUAACCAGGUAGGGCAAUGAAGGCAUCAGAGCGCCUGGCCAUUUCAGCCUUCCUCUGGUGCAUAUCUGCAACUGCUUUCACCUCUCCCACUGUCUCUCCUGUAAUCUGCAAAAGAUACAGCACACACAUACAACCCAAAAUAAAUAAAUAAAAAAUUAAAAAGGGCAUUUACAUCACUUCUCCUUUAUUUUAUUAAAGGGUAAACUUCGAAUACCACUUCUUAUAUGGUUUCGCACUUUCUCACUUUAGUAUCCAGUGGUUUAAAGUGUACCAAUUUAAUAUCCUGCGGUUUCAUUUUUCUCUUUUCGUCAGCUCACCCGUUAAUAUUUCGUUAGAUUGUAUACAAAAAACUUUAAUACAUGUUAGUUUUAACUUUGUCACUGAUUUAACGAAAAAAAAAAAAGUGGAUGGGAUAAUAAAAAAAUAAAUAAAAAUACGGGAGACUGAAUUUAUUUCUAAAUGAAAUAAACGAAGUGGAUAGCGUGCUAUCUAUCUCUCAAAAAAAAAGAAAUAUUAUUCAUAUACUAUUAAUAAUAUUUUAGAUAAAUUAUAAAUAUAUAAAUAUAUAUUAAAUAUUUACAGUAAGAAAAUUCAUCAUAAAUUCUGAUAAUCAUUACCUAAAUUAAAGGAGUAAAUUAUAUGAGAUAAAAAAAAAAAGCAAAAACAAGAAAAGGACAGUGAGCAGCAGGAGAGAGAGAGAGAGAGAGAGAGAGAGAGAGAGAGAUGGACUGUUUAUUUAGCAUAAAAAAUUAGCAGCAAACAUACCUCUCUAGGCAUGAGAGUCUUGGGAAUAACUCUGCAUUACAUAACAUGGACAAAUUAAUUAAGUUUCUAAACCCUUGGAUUUUUUACUCAGAUUCAGAGAAAACAAAAAAGAACAUUUUCAUUAUUCUUAUAUCUUUCACCCCUCCUUUUGCUGUACUUGAAGAUUGAUUAUUCUUAAAAUAUUUGGCCCAUAAUGAAGUUUACAUACCCAAUGACAUGUCUCCCACCAUCAUGCACAGCUUGGGAGACCAAACCCAUUAGCCCAACACUUCCCCCACCAUACACCAGAUCAAUAUUUCUUGACACCUGACAAGUAAUAAACUAUUAAAUAUAUAUAUAGGAGGAGAGAGAGAAACUGAAACUCCACACAUCCCUUUUCUGACUUCACCGCUCGUUGUUUCUAUUUUCAGCUACAGUAGCCUCAGCAUGUUUAGCAAAUGAAUUUAUCUAAAAUUUCUACUGUGACGGAGCUAAUGACAAAAUGUUUUUUCUGGCGCACUUUCUUAUCAUACAUAAAUAAAUGCAUUCUGCUCGCAAUCCCAAACAACGCCUAAGUCUUGAAUGAUGAAGGUAGAGAACAAACCUAUGAACUCAUAAAAUGAAGAGAUUUAAUUAGAAUAAGCUCUGAUAUAUAUAUAUAUAUAUAUACCGUCGUAACGAAAAGAUCGAUCAUUUAGUAAAAAAUAACAAGCUUAAGAGUAUAUUUGACUGUUUAGAACUUUUGUUUUUACUUCUGAAAGAGGUUGUGAAAAUAUAUAAAUGUUUAUCCUAAAUAUAUUACAAGAUCGUAUAUUAUCAAACAACAUUACACCCGACGAAAAUCAAUAUUAGUGGAUGUUAGGUAAAUUAUGCCACGCGUAUUUGCUGAAAAGGCUACAGAAAAGACAGCUUAAUAAUAGACGGGAAUAACAACCAUACAAUGAUAGAUGGGGAAUCAAACUUAAGAACUCUUAUGAUGGACUCUAAUAUUAUGCAUGUUUUUCAAAAGAUCAAUAUAAUAAGGGACUAUCUGAAAAUAGUUUUAAUAGCUUUUUCUAGAUUAGCAAGUUCAAUGCUCGGAACAGAGAAGAUUCCUUUGGUGUACUUUGAGACAAUGUUAGCCUGAGGAGAUGGAAAAGGGGUUUUAAAAGUACAUAGUAUUUUUAAAAGAAGAGAGAUAUUGAAUAGAAAAAAAAAAAUAGUACUAAAUAGAAAACCAAUAUAUCAUAAUGCAAUUAAUACAAAAACACUUGUCUUAUCCUUCAUUUCAAGCAACAUCCAUAUAACAACAACAUCUAAACUCAAAAUGCAAUAGAAGCAAAAUGAAAGAAGAGAGAUAUUGAAUAUAUCCAGAAUACUAAAGCAUCGCGCGUUCUCUAGCAGCUUAAUUAAGUUUUUUUAACAUAUUAUAGUUAUUUCAUAUGAUAUUAUAGUAGGAAUUUCUUGGUUUAAAUUCUACCAUAGUUGUAGUUUUAAUACAUAACAAUUGUUUCACACAGUAUUAAUUAGAGCGGGAGUUACCAAAUUAAGUUUAAAAUCUACUAUUUUCAUAGUUUAAAAUCUACUAUUUUCAUAGUUUAAAAUCUACUAUUUUGAGCUAGGCACGAAAAAAGUUGCCGCAUAUAAUAAGAUACCAAAUUAAACAUAGUUAUCUAUCAGCUUAAGCUUUUAUAAUAUAACAAUUAUUUUACGCUCGCGUACGUGCGUGAGAGAGAGAGAGAGAGAGAGAGAAAGAGCAUGUACCAAUUCCUUGCCAAGUUCAACUGCAGCAUCUUGGUAGCUCUUCUUCUUCCCUUGGCUACUCCCACAGAACACACAUAUCCUCUUAAAUCUUGAUGGCCUCAUCUCCUUCUCCCUCUCCAUUAAUGUCCUAAUUAAACUCUCUAGCUGGAUCUCUCUCUCUCUAUAUGUAUUUAUCUCUCUUGUCUUAAUUGUAGAGCUAGAGACACUGCAUAUAUAUAUAUAUAUAUAUAUAUAUAUAUGUAUAUGUUGGGCUCUCUCUCUCUCUUUCUCUUAUAUUGUGGGAGUGGUGUGACACAGCAUGAGUGCAAACAAUAAUCCACUAGAGACCUUGAUCACCUGGGAGUGCGCCACCCAUACAUAUAUAUAUAUCCAUAUAUAUUAUGUAUUAUUCUCUUCUUUAUUUAUAUAUAUACAUAUAUAUAUAGAGAGAGAGAGAGAGAGAGAGAGAGAGAGAGAGAGAGAGAGAGAAAGAGAGAGAGGUGUGUGUGGUGAGAUGCAUGAAUGGGUAACCUCAAAUGAGACACGAGCCAACACUCAAUGAUGGGUGUUCUCAGAAUUCAAGAAUGUGACAUAUCUGAUUAAAUAUUCUUUUUGCUUCAAAAGUUUAAGCCUAUAAAUUCAUGGAUGCGUGAUUAUUUGUAUGUGAAUUUUAAUAGAUUCUUUAUUAAUUUGUUUCUUUCAACCCCUCUCGGUCGUAAAGAUUAAUAUUUCACUUCUCGGUUUAUUUGGCGACUCUCAAAAUUAUAGUUUAAUAAUUGAAGUAGUGUCAUCUGGUGUGUUAUUAUUUACGAAAAUAAAUAGAACAUCACACUCUCUCAUCUGGCGGUACACACUUUGCUCGCCCCUACACAUGGUGACAAGAGAAAAACAAAAAAAAGUUGUUUAGCUAAUAUCUAAUGCGCGUUAUCGCAUGAAUGUAAUUAUAUGCAUGGGAGUUGUAUAUAGAAGAGAUCGAUUUAAGUUAUGUUUUAAUGUGGAAGUAAUAUGAUAUGUUAAUCGUUAUUGCGUCAUCAAUCACAGUACUGCUACAUUACUUUUAUAUCAACGGCACAUCAAAAGUUAUUCAACUAAAUUGAAUUGUAAAAUUUAAUCAUAAUAAUUUAAAAAUAUCAAACUGGAAAUUAUAUACAAUAAAUUAUAAUUUGAGAACGGCCAAAAGUGUAAUCUAGCCUUUUUAAUUUCAGUAAACUUGUAUGUAUAUAUAUAUAUAUAUAUAUAUAUAUAUAUAGCAUCAGAAAAUUGUCACCUGUUAGGACAACGUGAUUUUAAUUUCCUAAUUAAUAUAGGCAGGUGCAUUAAUUUUGAUUUUAAUUUCCUAAUUAAUAUAUGCAGGUACAUUAAUUUUAGCACCAGUACCUGCCACAUUAUGGGAGACAUUCUAGGAUAUAGGACAUAAGAAAUUAGUGUAAUAUACGCACUCUGAUUUUAUCCGUACGCAUUUUGCAUUAAUUAUGCUUAAGAAAACAUUAAUAUAUCUUAACAUUAAAGUUUCAACUUACAAAGUAUAAUCUACAGUAUUUAAAAUCAAUGUAGAUUACAAGCUUUAAAAACCUAUCAUUCAAGGGACCUAGCUUCUUUCAAUUCAUAAAGAUUAAUUAUUGUUCAAAUUUACUAUUUUUUAUAGACAAGUUAAUUUUAAAUUUAAAAUUUCAUCAUAGAAUUUUAGGAUUGCCAUGUUUGAAAUUAAUGUGCUUUUGCAUCAAGCACGCAACAAUUUCUAGGAUAGGAAUGCAUCAAUUAUAUAUGAAGAAUAUUAUUUUAUGUACCAUAUUUUAGAAAUAAAAUUAGCUGCAAAUAUAAAGUAACUGUGCUCCGAACUUGGAAUCUCAGCCACCAAUAAUCAAGUUCUUUUCCACCUACGUUAGGGACAGUGCUUGAUAUGUAUUUCAGAAAAACUUUACUAUAGUUUUUAGCAUUAGAAGAAUGAAAAGUUUUUUUAGUUUUGUUUUUUUUGUUUUUUUGUUUUUUUUUUUUUUUUAUUCAUGGGAAUAGAGUGUGAGGGACCACAUACCCCUUCUUUUCAUUGGGGUUAAGUGCAUCAAAUGAUCAUAGAUAUAUAUAUAUAUAUAUAUAUAGUGCAUUGAAGUUUGGUUUUAGUAUUUCCAUGUUCUCAUAAUUCGUACAUAGAAACAAAAAAAAAAGAAGAAAACAUAAUAAUAGUAAUGAAUAAUAACUUAAUAACAACAUCUGAUCUAGAAAAUAUAAUUUACACCAUUUAAAUAACUUAUGUAAAAAAUUAAAAUUCAUUAUUUUUUAAAAAUUUAUUAUCUAUCACACCAUUUAGUUAGAUGUAAUUACAAAUAUAGAGCAAUUGGAGAUAUAUAAGUUGGAAAUACAACAGUUGCAAUUACAUGCAUCAUAUUUGGUUGGAUGUAGUAGAAAGCGCUGCUGAAACUGUAAAUAAUUUGUUUGGUUUGCAUGCGGUUGAGAAAUAAUUUUUAAAUUUUUUUAUUUUUAUAUAUAUAUAUAUAAUGGCUAAAUUAACUUCUAAUGUAAUAUAUAUAUAUAUAUAUAUAUAUAUAUAUAUAUAUAUUAUUAUAUAUAUAUAUAUAUAUAUAUAUUAUAUAUAUUAUAUAUAAUAUAUAUAAUAUAUAUUAUAUUAUAUAUAUAUAUUUUUAAAAAAUAAUUAAGGAUGUAAACUUACUUUUUGUUUAAAAUUGUUCUCUUCAACUACUGCAGUUGGAGUUAAAUAUAUCAAACCAAACACUGAGUUGCAUUUGAUGCAAUUAUCACUAACGUGCAGUUGCAACUAUGCAUGAACAAAAGGCUUGUGCUCGCGUGAGCAAAUCGAGUAGCUAUAUAAGGGGGUGUUUGGUUGGAUGUAGUUGUAGAAACAGUGUAGUUGAAAUACAUGUAGUUGUAAAUGCUGCAGUUGUAACUACACCUAGUCUGUUUGGUUUUACGCAGUUGCAACUGCGUGCAGUUACAUUUUCUGUUGUAUAUUGAAGCUGAUAGUUGUAUUUGUGAUUUUGUCACCUUUUUCAGAUAGAUAGAGUGGUGAGAUUACCUUCACUAAACAUAAAAUAAUUGUAUAAGUUUAUUAAUCAUUUAAAUUUACUAUUUAUAAAUAAAUAAGUAGAUAUAUAUAAUAUUCUUCAACUUAUUAAUCGACACAUUUAAAAUUUUAAUUUAUUUAAUUUUAUAAUGUUAAAUCAACUUUAAAUUUAAACGAUUCUCUCAUUUUUUUAUAUCAAAUUUAAUAAUUAUUAAUUAAUAAAACUUAUUAAAUUAACAUAACACGAUCACAUUCUAUAAUUUUUUUUUAAACAAAACUAUAUUUAUAUUUUAAUAAAAUAAAAUUAAAAUUUAAUUUUUGCACAAGCUUGCAUUGUCUAAAAAUUUAUUAGUAUGAGUUUAUUUACAAGUAUUUUUAUUUACCUAUAUACAUAUAUUAUUUAUUUAUUUAGCUAUUUAUUUAUUUAUUUAUUAUUGAAUUUGUGGGUGAUCUAUCCCUCACCAACUGCUGCAGUUGGAACUACGGCCAAUUUGGAUGUAGUUCCAACUGCAGCAUUUGGCCUUCUUGUGUAGUGGGAACUGCAGCAGUUGAACUCAACUACACUAAACAAACAAAAAAUUGAGGCUGCACGCAUUUGCAACUGCACUGCAGUUGCAAAUGCGUGCAACCAAACAAGCCCAAUAUUUAAAGUUGUAUUAACUUUCUAUAUGUAGAACUAUAUAUUAUUUAUAUAAUUUUUUCAGCACUUACGUGACGAAAAAAAUUGUUGAUUAUUUAUCGAAAAAUAAUUGAAUUUUCAUUUUGGAAAAAAGAAGAGAAAAACAUGGAUUCCACAUUCAUUUGCAUCUAUUCUAAAUACCUAUCCAAACCAGGGGACAAAGGGUGCAGGUGAAAGUAGGAUGUAAUGGGUAUGAAUAUCCGAAAUUUUAUCCGAAUCGAAUAAAACGGAUAUAUUCGAUGUAAAUGGAUAUAGAUUCUGAUAUGGAUAUCAAAAUAGAAAUCGACGGAUAUGAAUUUUGAAUGUACCCAACCUGAACCGAAUUUAUUUUGUAUUAUAUAAUAUUAUAUAUAUUAUAUAUUAUAUUAUAUUUAUUAUAUAUAUAUAUAUAUAUUAUAUAUACUAUAUAUAUAUAUAUAUAUAUAUAUAAAUUUGAUGUUAUAUUUGAAUUUGUAUUUUAAAAAUUUAGAUUUAAUAUAAUAUAUUUUGAAAUAUUGAAAAAAGAAAUAAUGGUUUCGGGUUCAAAUUUUCGGGUUCGGGUUUCGGAUUUUUGGUCGGGUUCGGGUUUAGAUAUGGAUUUUUAAAAUCCGUCAGGUUCGAGUUCGGGUUCGGGUCUCAGGUUUGGAGUCGGAUUCGGGUUCGGAUUUUUAAAAAUCCACUCCGAAUCCGACACGUUGACAUCUCUAGGUGAAAGCAUAUAUAACCACAGCAAUGGAGAUGGCAUAGAACACAUGAUAUAAUGAAUAAGGGUAACAAUGCAUAGAGACCCCUCAACUUUACUAUAUUUAGCGACGCGUUUUAACUUUUAUUUUUUUUAUUAUUGGAUGCUUUUUAGUAAAAGAAAUGAUCAUAUUUAUCUGUAAGCUCAUCAAAUUUAAUAAUUUUAAUCAUUUGUACAAAUAAAUUUAAAAACAAUGAUUAAUAACUAAAAUAGUUGUUAAUUUCUAGAGUUUUUUUAUUUAAUUAAGUAAACAUAAAUGAUCAAUAUAUUUCAAAAGUCUACGUCAACACAUUUACAUCAUCUUUUCAUUCAGCACUCAAAAAGUCUACCUCAACCCAGGCGAAAAGCAAAUGUCUAGCAUGGUAAAUCAUAUUCAGUUUUUAAAUUAUUUUUUCAAAAUUGUUAAGAUAAGUUUCAUUACUGGUAAAAUAUAUUAUCCUAACAAAUUAUGUAUGAUAAAAAUUUUCAACAAGCGAAAGCAAAAUUCUUAGUUUCUAAUCAUGAGAAAAAAAAAAUUAAUACUGAAUAAAUUAUUAUUGAAUAACUUAUUCUGACCAUAUAUAUUGUUCUUCUAUUCGACACUAUGAGAUGGAAAUUACAUUUAAAAGAGACAUGGAGAUUUGUAUAUUUAGCUAAAGUUCGACAAUGAAAUAAUUCAUGAUCUCCACUUUGCAAAAGUUUGUUUUUUUUAUUCUUCUGCAAGAGAGAGAGAGAGAGAGAGAGAGAGAGAGAGAGAGAGAGAGAAUCAAAGAGAGAUCCAAGUUUUUUUAAGAAUCAAAGAGAGAUCCCUAGGACAAGCAUCAAAUCUACCAUUUGUCUUUUGUGUUCACGCACAAUAUCCCAUAAACAAAUUAACAAGAUAUGUGGCUUAAUUAACAAAGUAAUUCAUUAUAUAUGGACCUCACCUAGCAUAGCUGAAUAAGGACUUAAUAGUUGGUACUCGAGAUUUCAAGUUCGUGUCCUUGUUGCUUCACAUUUCUAGCCAAGUUUCUCAACGAAAAAAAAAAGAUCGAAGCGGGUAUCUUGCUACCUUUCUCCUUUUUUUUUUGUUUAAAAAGUAAGCGGCAAAGGGCUUGGUGGUUGAUACCCGAGACCCAAGUUCGAAUCCUAGUUGAUUCACAUUUCUAGCUAAGUUUAUUUCUAAAUGAAAUAAACAAAACGGGUAGAAAAAAAGAAAAAGCACAAUAUAAAUUUUAAUGCUUUUAUGCUUUUAUAUAUGUUCUCAUUUGGCCAAACAUACAAAAAAGCUUUUUUUGCGCGAAAUAUAUUAUUCUAAGCAUUCAAUAAAUCUAAAGUCUGAAACUUUUAUAACGAUAAGUAAAGAGCAUAAAUAAGAUUUUGGAUCAGAAAACUUCUAUUUCUUUCUGUAUACUUCUAUAAAACUGCAGUUGUGUGAAAGUUUCGAUCAAAUCAAAUAAUUUCUACACAAAAAUGAUAUUGUUGUGAAACUGGGGGACAACAAACAAAACGUUCUUUCGACCCCUAUAGGUUUGGCUUUAAUUUGCAUGCCCCUUUUGGUAACACCUAAUAUGAAUGGUAGAUUUCAAGAGAUACACUCCAAAAAAAACAAAAAAGUGUCUUUGAUUAAGAUCAUGCAUGGCCUAUACUUUUUUUUUUUUUUAAAGCUCAAUAUAAAUGCUUUUAUGCUUUUAUAUAUGUUUUCAUUUGGCCAAACAUACAAAAAAGCUUUUUUGCUUGAAAUAUAUAAUUCUAAGCGUUCAAUAAAUCAGAAGUCUGAAACUUCUAUAAGGAUAGUUAGAGAGAAUAAAUGAGGUUUCGGAUCAGAAAACUACUAUUUUUUUCGGUGUAUACUUCUAUAAAACUGUAGUUGCGUAAAAGUUCCAGCCAAAUCAAAUAAUUUCUACACGAAAAUGAUAUUGUUCUGAAACUGGGGGACAACGAACAAAGCCUUCUUUCUAGCCCUAAAGUUUUGGCUUUAAUUUGCAUUCCCCUUUUGGUAACAUCUAACAUGAAUGGUAGAUUGCGAGAGAUACACCCACACACACAAUUUAAAAUUAAAAAAAAAGAGAAAAAAGAAGAAAAUAGAAGUGUCUUCAACUAAGAUCAUGCAUGGCCUAUACAAGAGAUGCCCAUGAGAUGGGUGAGUUUUGUCUUAUCUUAUAUUAAAAAGCAAAACAUGGAUAUAUACCAUGCAUGCAAUGUAUUGGAUCCCACCCAAAUCUUAUGAUCCCUUGAUGAUGAUGAUGAUUGGGUGGAUAACACCUCAUCAUCACCUUUAAAUCAUCAUCAUCACCUUUAAAUCUUUUUUUAUUUAUUAUAAAGUUGGAAUUUAGAAGAUCCACCUAAUAUUCUAGGCAUUGAUGGUACAUUGAGAUUAUGUAAAAUGUUUGUCUAAUUGUGUAUUUAUAUGUAAGGCACUUUGAUGAUGCAUGCAAAGGUUGUUAGGUAAGUUAAUUGACUUUUGCUUCAUAUAUCCUACUUUUGAUCCUCAAAGUAUAAGGCACGUGACACUCUGAUCUUCUAAAUUAUUAUAAUUAAUUUCUUACAGUUUAAUUAAUUUGACUAAAUAGUGUUGUAUGUAUGCUGAUGUAACAAUAUUGUAGUUGAUUAUAUAGCAAUAUUUAGGAUGACUCGUCGCUGUUAUGUUAGUGACACAUCAAUAUUUAGUAUACUAAAUUGGGCCAUGUGAUUUGAUUGUAAUAAUUAAAAAGUCGGACCAAGAAAUAAUGGUAAAUUAUUAAAAUUUAAGAAUUGAAGUGUUACCAGCCUUAUAGUUUGAGAACCAAAAGUAGAGGUGUCAACGGGUCGGAUUCGGGGCGGAUUUUCAAAAACCCGAACCCGAAUCCGACUCCAAACCUGAGACCCAAACCCGAACCCGACGGAUUAUAAAAAUUCAUAUCCAAACUCAAACCCGACAAAAAAUCCGAAACCCGAACCCGAAGAUUUGAACCCGAAACAAUUAUUUUUUUUUUCAAUAUUUCAAACUAUAUUAUAUUAAAUCUAAAAUUUUAAAAUACAAAUUCAAAUAUAACAUCAAAAUAAAUUCGGGUUCGAGUCGGGUUCGGGUUCUGGUUGGGUACAGUCAAAAUCUAUAUCCGUCAGGUUUCUAUUUUUGAUAUCCACAUCUGAAUCCAUAUCCAUUUAGCAUCGGAUAUAUCCGUUUUAUUCGGAUUCGGAUUCGGAUAAAAUUUCGGGUAUCCAUACCCAUUGACAUCCCUAACCAAAAGUGCAAUUUAGCCAAUUUUUUAUCAGUAAAUUGAACUGGUACAGUGAUAGCUUGUGACCUAGCUAGGUUUAUUUGGAGGCCCAAGUCAUUUUGUGUCUCUAUGGCCUAAACCCCUGUUGGGCUUAAAACUAGUAGCCCAAUUUGGAUACUUAGCGAGCUUUGAUUUGAGUGAAGCUAUUGGAAAAAGCACUAUCAGAUUAUGGUUAUACGACAUAGUUGAAACAAAGGUUUAAAAUAUGGACAUCUGUCGAAAAUAACUUCAAUCCUCUGCCAUUAUCAUAGCAACUGCUGUCACCACCACUAUCGUUAUCAUUGCAAUCACUAUCUGUAACUAUGUUUAUCAUUGUGUGAUUUCACUUCGACAAUAUUAUAAUAAUUUGAUGAAUUUUUCAAAAGAAUCCUAAAAACGAACCAAAUGAUAUAUUUUCAUGCACACAAAUCAAAUUUGGGAAACAUAAUUUUUAGAAAACUGUUCCUAUAUGCUUUAGUCUCAAACAUAGCAGAUUCAAGAUUGCUUUACAAGGAUACUUUCAAUAAAGGAAAAACUUCAAAUACCACUUUCGUGGUUUCGCACUUUUUCACUUUAGUAUCACGUAGUUUAAAGUGUAUCACUUUCAUACUCCGUGAUUUUAUUUUUUUUUCUUUUUGUUAUUUCCUUCACUAAUUUUUUUUGUUAAAUUAGUAACAAGGUUAAAACUAAAGAAAAUUAAAGUAAAUAUUCUAUAAAUUAUUGAUGGGGUAUCUGAAAUUUUUUAUACAUGAUUUAACGAAAAGUUAACGGAAGGACUAACAAAAAAAAAAAAAAAAACCAUAGGGUAUUAAAUUGAUACACUUUAAAUUACAGGAUAUUAAAAUGAAAAGUGCGAAACUACAGGAAUGACAUUUGAACUUUACCCUCCAAUAAGAAUAUAAGCUUCAAACAUAUAUCAAAUUUUACCCUCGUAAUCGUAAUUUAUUUAUUUAUUUAUUAAUACAUUAAACUCCUACUUGAUAAUUCAUUUUAUUUCACUUAUUAAAUACUCUUAAUUAAUAAUUAAUUGGUUAAUUAAUUUUAAUUAACAUUAUCACUCGUCUUCUUCUGGAGAGAGAUCGGGCUCCGAGGGCUUCUUCGGCGCCUUCUCCUCCAUCGGCCCCAUUCUCCCUCUCCUUCUCCUCCGCAUCUCCAUCUCCUCCUCCGACGACGAAACCCUAAUCUCCAUGGACGCCCUCCGCCGCCCCCUUCGCCGCCACGCCGCCUGUAUGAAGCACGCCGCCCACGCCCGCCACUGGUGCGAGUAGAACCUGAGCUUGUGCCGCAUCUCCCUGCUGUGCAGCCUCCGGAACUGCGCCGCCACCUCCUUCAGGUCCUCCGCCGCGAGCGCGAACGCCUCCACGUCCGACACCGCGCGCACCGUCCGCGUCGACGUCGGCAGCCCCCUCCGCGCGCGCCGCCCUCGCCCCGCAACGGCGGCGGCGGCGGCGGCGGCGGCGGCAGGGGCGGAGGCGGAGGGGGAGGGGGAGGGGGAGGGGGAAUUGGGGCGGGGGUCGAGGGCCCAGGGGAGGAGCUCCUCGCCGCAGAACUCGCCGGGGCCGAGGAGGCACGAGUUGAAGAAGCCGCUGCGGCCGCCCUGGGUGGUGCACGAGUCGAGGUGUCCGCGGAUGAUGAACAGGGUCUCCCCCACCGGGUCCAGCUCCCGCACCACGCACGUGCCCUUCGUGUACAGCGCCGGCCGCAGCCGCUCGCAGAUCGCCUCUAGCGUCUGCUCGUCCAUCUCGUCGAACAGCGGCACCUGGGGUAAAAAUCCCAUCUCUUAGCAGAUAAAACCAAAUGGUGCUAUGAUUGUAUUGUAUCUUUAACUCUAUGUUCAUUACAUGGCAUUUGGUUCAGUAAAAAUCGCAUUUUGUUAGGAUGAAAUAAAUGGUGUUAUAGUGGUGUUACAAUUUUGACUGUUUUGCGUUCAUUACACGGCAUUUGGUUCAGUAAAAAUCACAUUUUCUUAUUAGAUAAAAGAUGGUGUUAUGAUGUUGACUAUAUGUUCAUUACAUGAGAUUUAGUCGUGCACGAUUAUUAUCUUCUUAUUAGAUUGUGAAUCUUCUGCUCUAGUAGCCCUUUUGAUUUGAUAGAAUAUGGUGCUGUUAUUUGUCUAUGUUUAAAUUUCAAAACUUUAGGCGGAAACCGUAGCAUUUAGUGAAGUGGUUUAUCGACUUAUAAUCGCAGAUUGUUGAUGAGUCUGAUGAAAUUUUAACUUCGGACUGUGGCUCCUGCAAAUGGUGCUGUUUGAGCGAAGCUAUUUAGUGAAUUAAUAAAUUUUAAUUAAAUAUACCGACAAAUCUUUAUGGCGUCUAGGAUGUUGAAAAUCAAGCUUUUAUUACAGAAAAAUGGUGUUCUUAUUUCAUCUAUGCUCGGUACAUGAUAUUUAGUUUAGGUGAUUAUCAUCUUCUUAUUAGAUUGUGAAUCUUCUGCUCUAUUGGAACCUGUUUGACCCGAUUGGAGCUUUUGUAGGAUUGUUGAUUCGAAUAGAUAUAUUCGAAGAAUUACUAAAGUUACCAUCAAAAUAUAGCACUAGAUUUUACAAUAGAAUAAGCAAAAGAUUCUGAAUUUCUACUAUUGAGGUUUAGAAGUUUAUUUUAGCUUGUCGCUGUGGCUUUACCUUUUGAUUGUUAAACAUCUAGCCUUCACUUAUUUAAGUAAAAAGCUAUUCUAAAAGCUAGAUGAAAGAGUAGUUCUACCAUGUGAAUCAAUUAAACUAUCCAAACCAAGCUAUGAUGCUUUUGGAAGCAUGAGAGGUUGGUGCUGUUCCCAUAUUUCUGUAAUUAACGUGCUCAACAACAAGACAAAAUCAUUCAUCAAAGAGAUUUGAGAAGAAUGGGUUAGUGCUUACACUUCGGACUAGAUCAAGGCAUAGAUGGCGCUUGAUAUCUCUUCUGAGGUCCAAGGGUAGGCAUUUGAGUAGGGCUUCUUCGUCGACCCCUUGUGUGGCGACCCAUUUGUACUGAUAAUACCUUCUCACACAUUGCUUCAGCUCCAGUGGGAGCUGCCUAUGAUGCAUCCACUGCUCCAUGUCUGUCCUCUUUAUCCUCCAUUCUUCUAGCCGGACUAUUGUUGAUUGGAGAUAAGACUGCAAAGCAUUUUAAGUGUCCAAACACAAACUAAAUGCACUUAGAUCUCUUCAUUUUCAUUAUGUUUCUUAUGUUCUUGGUGACUCUGUAAUUCCUCUCCUUCUAUUACUUGUUCAAAACUUUUGUAUGUAGAUUAAGGAGAAGACUGCUUUCUUAAUCUUGUGUCAUUUACGUUAAUUGUGUCAAACUUAACUCCCUCAGUUUCCUCUGACUAAUAUUGUUAUACACAUGAUAAGUCAACGACAACUUAUUCUAGGUUAUUUGGUUUUUCUACAUUGUGAAGUUGAUGCACUUACUUGCAUGUUUCCAAUCAGCAAGCCAAACAGCACCAAUCCAAGAAUUGCAAUGAUUAUUGCGAAGCUUAUUUCUCCUAUGUCAAUACUUGUUGACAGAUUCUGACCCAAACAACUGCAAAGUUUGAAAACAAAUAUAAUCACUUCGAAUUUAAGUAUGAUUUUGGUUCAAGAAAGCAAGAUGUCUAAUCGAUCUCGGUUGAAGAUGAACUUUUGAUACUUACCUCAAGUUCUUCAAUCCCCACCAAAAGCAGUAGAAGUACUUUUGGAGGAAUGGAGAUGAUGUUACAUUAAAGUUCAACGCCUCCUUGUAAAUCCCAAACUGGUAGAAGUCACUACUUGGGUUGCAUAAAUUUGGUAGGUUGCUUGAUCGGUACCAAAUAUUCCUUGAACUGUCAAUUCUUUCACAGUCGAAGUACCAAUAUUGGCAGGAGGGGCUAUGAAGACGGCAUGCCUCUCGCCAGCACUCUUCCUGACGCUCGAUUGAUAGGAGAUACCAUACUGCUCCUAGUACCUAUUCAAUGUUAAGAGAAAGUAAGGAGGUGUUAAAACUAGAUUUGUUACUCUGUAUUUUUCGUGUUUGUUUGAAAAACCUACCUGAAUGUAUUGCUUAUUACCAGGAGCAUAUAUAUUAAGUCUUUUAAUUAGGUAGCUGUACAUGAAGAUGCAACUUAAGUAAAGAGAAAAGAAUGAUAAGUGGAACACGAUUGAAAUCAAGUAUAGCACAUUUCGUCUUUUUUUUUUUCCCCGCUGAGAACAACCAUCCAAACUCGGAGCAAAUUUUAUCUUCAUUAAUGGAUUGAUGAAGAUGUUGCAGGAAAAAAGAAGAAUCUUUAUGAUUCGGAAUAUAAUCAAUAAACAUUAAACAAAUAGCUGGUUUGCAACUUACAUGGCUUGCAAGCAUGUAUAGGAUGAGGUUGUAUGCAGCUCCUGCCCAUGCAGUUUCUGUCAUGACCCCAGUAGUCAUUAUGAUUUGCUGCGUUAGUGGGAAGAUCAGAAAGAGCCUUGGGAGGUAUUGGGAGAUGACGCCAAAGCGAAUAAGGUUCUUAUAGCUGGUCAUUGUCGAUCCUUUUAGGUUAGGAACUACAAUCCAUAUUAGAAACUGCAGCGAAAAUGAAAUUUGUAUUAAAACCUCUGAUAUUGCAUCACAUGCAACAGGUAAAGGAAAAUUCAACAAUAAAGUUAUGAAAUAGGCUCUGCUAAUAUGAGUAGCUCAAAAAUCAAAAUCAGGGUGUUAGCAACAAUGAGCUCAACAGGAUAUGCAUAUAAUGUUUAUGCAUGAUGUUUGUCUGUGCUUGUGUUUUUGACGUGUCUACAUACUUGUUGUAUGCUAUUUAUGAUCUUUCUUAUAGUAGGUUUCACAUGAUUCUUCAGAGAUUUAAGAGGAUAUGUCACUUCAAAAAUGAAAAAUGAAGAAAUUAAAAACGUGAGUUUGAUACAGAGAGGGAAACAAGGCUAGCAUUUUACCUGUGGCAGAGGCAAUGCAGCAAUUAGAUCAAGCCAAAAGCUCUUGGAUAAGUACCUUCUAGCAAUCUUUGAUGGAUCAAUAACAAGCUCACCUCUCCCAAAUACGCGAGAGGAUGGAGCAACAAAUGCUGUUCGAAAACGAACAUAUAUCUGGAGUGCAUAGAAAACAUCUGCAAUUGACCGUACUACAGUGAGAGCUAUCAUAAGCGCAGUGUUGAUCUCAAUACAAUUCAUUUUUUGAAUCCCAGGCAAGAAGAAGAACAGAGGAUCCACAAAGAGAGAGACUAAGCUGGCUAUUAGAAAAACUUUAUUCCAACGGUGAAUCGGAUGGCCAUGAGGGUCGAAGGACUUCUUGUCGAUGUUCACCAAAGAAUCGUACUCCUCUGAGAACACUCGAGAUAACACUUUCUCUUUGAAGCAUUUGCUGGGCAUCUCCGGAAAUAUUUUUGAUCCUGAACAGCAUUUAUAUCUCCUUUCAGCUCGUUUCUUGGGUUUGGUUGGAUAACAUGAACUGCAUAUUGUGGACUGCGCCAACUCAACAUCAUCCUGAAAUCUGGAACAUGAUAUCAACAUUUAGAAAAUCUACUGAAAUUUUAUUUCUACGGCAUCGACAUCCUUCCUUGGAGCAAUAUCUCGGGUGAGUAUAGAAUGUUCUAUUUCUACAAUGAACUGCAAAAUACUUAGAACUCUGAAACUUGUUCUAUGCUCAGUAACUUGUAGGAAUGGUUGAAGGAGAUAAUAAUUAAGUUGUUUAUAUUUAUAAUUUAAGAACAGAACUGGAGAUUGAAAUUGUGUGUUCUAUGGGGUUCCCUACAUUGAAGAAAAUGUAUUGGUUUAGAAUUGAUUUGGCAUAGUGGCUAUGAGCUUCAGUGACUGUUUUUCUGUUUAAAACAUUGGAUAGUGGUGGAAGAUUUUUACAUAACAACAUUAGAUUGAUUACAACUACUGCUAAGUUGCAUACUAUUACAGUUAUAGAAAUUGAACUAAUGUAGCUACAAAUAUGCUAAUUCUGUAAGUUAAGAAUGACUGACCUCACUGAUCUCGAACUAGUAAAAGCCAUGUGCUUCGCGAUCAAUCUUGUUCUAAGAAAUCGUUUGAAAUGAUUUAUAUCGCAGAGAAUUGCCAUGUCGUGGGAUACAUUAAACCACAGAUCAAAAGAAAGCCAUUAUGACCACAGAUCAAAAGGUUUCCUGCAACUACUUUUGAUAAGGAUCUUGUGAGUGGAAGUGCCAACUUGCAUUAAAGGCACAGGAGAUCCUCUCACCAUCUGGGAUUUGAAUGUUGAAACUGGGCAGUUACAUGUGACUUAAGAUACGUCCAAAGAUAUGUCCAACAAUUUCCUCUUAAGACUUCUCUUUCUGUCGUGAAACUUCAUUGAAGUGAAAGGAAAAAAGAAACGCCAAAGGCCACAAUCAAGAGUUUGGUUUUUAUUUGAUAAAGAUAAAAAGAUAAUGAAUUACCUAUAUACUUGGUGUUAUUGGGGUAAAAAGUAAAUAAUGAUAGUAGAUUGGUGACAUUAUGAAGGUCUUGUUGAGAAGAGAAGUCAAUCUAAGAGUGUGCCAAUAAAUUGAAAGGAAAUUGGGAGGGAAAAAGAUGACAUAUUUAUUACAACUUGUGAAAAAAUUAUUUUAGUACAAUUUCUGUGUUGCUUCUUGUACUCCGACACUUUGUUGACUUGGUGAAAAAUCAAAUCAUAAAUUGGUCAUUAGUGAUUGAUAGAAGCAGAAACUUUUUCUUUACAUGAAGCUUUUUGUGAUGUUCUGAGUGGCCUGUAAUUUGUAUAUACUAGUGGUUGCCUCUUAACUCCUGGUAUCUGGACAGUGGUUGCUACACCUAAAGAGAACGAAAUACUAGUGGAGGAAAACAUUGUUUCUGCUUUAUUCAACAUGAGUCAUGUGACAAUCUCAUUUCAUGGUGGCAUUUUAUGGAUUGGUGCCAUUCAGAUUAGGGCUUGUCAAUUGUGUGAAGCUAGUGAUGAAACAGACUAAUUUCAUUCAUGUUCUUGCCAAAUUUUUAGACUUUGAAAUGUCUAUCCCAAGUCAGAUUGUGGAAACUGUGCAGGCCAGUUCUUGUUAACAGUGUGAUCUAUCUAUCUUGACCACACAGCGCAUAAUGGUUAAAUGAUCCCCCUUCGAUCCAAUCUUGCCCUUUCAGCCCUCACCAGUCUUCAGGAUGUUGUUAAUCGAGAAAAUAUCCAACAACCUUCUAUACAUGUUAUCAUAUUCUACUCACUUGGUCUUUUCGAAAUAUGCUUUGGAUACCCUCUCUAGGUACCCCUUGUACUAGCUGAUGUGCUGAUUUGUGCUAUGCAAGGUAAUUUACAUAUAAUAUAUGUGUAUGCCAGCAUAUUAGCAGUUUUUUGGCCGACCAUUGGUGGUGCUAUGCUCAUUAGUAAAAGAUAUCCACAUGUUUGGAAGAGCAACUAAACAAGCAACAUGAGUUUUUUUUUUCCUUUUUACUUGUUUAAAUAGAAAAGAAAAAACUGUAAGAGUGCUCUUGUACAAAGAUCCCAGUGCAGGCUGUUAAUAGUUUCUUCUUCUUCUUCUUCUUCUUCUCUUCUUUUUUCCUGCAGUUUCUUCGGAGGUCUUGGUUUCAAUUUCCAGCACUUAGGGCGUGAUAUAUAUACCUCUCACAAAACAAAAGGUGAUGAUAUAUAUAUAGAGUUGAGCUGAAAUGCUAUCUAUAGCAAACGGCCCCGUUGCCACCUCAUUUGUUUUCGAUAAUAGAGCCUCCAAAUCGACGAUCGACACUGUUGAACAUGAUCUAUAUCACUUAAGUAUCUAGAAACCAAAUAUCAAAUUUUUUUGACAUCAUUGGCCUAAUGAUCAAAGGUUUAAAAAUUUGUAAUUUUAUUGGUCGAUGUAAGAUGUUUUCUCAUUUAUCAGCGUAAAGAUAUCCAAAUCAAUUGAAUUUUGAUUAGAAAUUCUUUAAUCUAUUUAGAACAAGAUCUAUACUCUUGAUUUUGAUUAUAGGACUCUUGUCAUCACUUUUUAAAGGGUAUUUUCAGCUGUUCAUUUUUGUGUCCACUUGGUGGACAAGAGGACAAUAUCGAAAAAACGUGAAAUUUGAUUUCUAGAUGCUUCAAGUGGUAUAGAUCAUGUUUGACGGUGCCGAUCAUCAAUUUGGGGCUCCCUUAUUGAAAACAAAUAGGUGGCAAUGGAGCUCAUUUGCUACUGACAACAUUCUAACUCAACUCUCUCUCUCUCUCUCUCUUUGUCUAUAUAUAUAUAUAGAAUUGAGCUCUUAUGCUUUUAAAAGUACUUGGUAAUGAUCAAAUGCGUAGAUCUAACGGUAAAAAACUUACAAGCAUCAAGUACUUGGUGCUNAUAUAUAUAUAUAUAUAUAUAUAUAUAUAUAUAUAUAUAUAUUCCCCAAGUAUAUUCUUUGGAGAAGCUGCUAUAACUUCACUACAGAUAUUGAAUUCUUAGAGGUGAAUUGCUGCAACGUGUCAUAUUAUUUACAAAACUGCAUCAUCUCGCAUCCACGUUUGACAUUCUAUUUACUGCUCCAUAGACUGGUCAUUGUGGCCAAGCAAUAUACAAAACAAAAUAAAGGCAAAACAAGCUGAAAACAGAAAUAAACAAAUAAUACAGUAGAGAAGUUUCAUCCUUGCAAUUAGAAGUGAAACAAAGAACAAUCUGCUUUUUUAGCUAGAGACUAAACACACAAACCAUGAGAAAUUGUUUGAAGGGGGUAAUCAUGCGCACAUCGCACGCGCAGACACAGAUGCGGAACACAUGUGCGCGCGCUCGCACGGACAAAAGGAAAUUAAGAAAUGACAAGAUCCAUGAGAUCAGAGUGUUGGUGGGGGUCCUGGCUCGAACAAUGGAGGGCAGCAACUCCUGAAGAGGCCACAGCAGCAAAGACAGCACAGACUGCAAUUUUUUACAAGAAGAAAGCCAAAGGUUGAGUUCAUUGCAAGUGUAUAAACUUUUCUUCAGCAACCAAUUUUUUUUUCUUUUCUUGGCAAAUGCAUGCAGGUGUACUAUCCGAACCUUAGCGCAUUCGUGAUGGGUACCGGAAUGUUAAAAGCUAUUAUUUCAAUGCUCAACUUGUUAUACUUUUAGCUAUCGUCGCAACUAUUUUGACAGAAUACUAUGUUGCUUGCUGGCACAUUCAUAUUUUGAAAUUCAGGUACUUGAUUCAAAAUAGCCCAUGAAUCAGGUAAUUCUCUGUACAUUUUUACCUUCUUUUUUGUAAAAAAAGCCUAAUAGUUUAAAUUCUGAGCCAGAAAACAAUCACUAAUAUGCAGUAUAAGACUCUUUUCAGAUACUCACUGCCAUGUAUGUACACAAGUUGAGAAGAAGCAGAAGAGGAGCAAAGCAGCAGCAGGUGAGUGAUUACCAUGAAUCCAGGAAUCCGUCAGGUGGUGGCGCAGGUGCGGGCGGAAGCAGUGGCACUUCCGGUGACGGCGGUGAGUACGGCCGCGGCGGGGGACGAGGAUCAGGUUCCAUAAUCUUCGGUAAGGAUUGAUGAGGAAAAUUUCAGUUUGGUGAGUGUUUUGUGCACAUCAGGUGUAUAAUUUUUUUUUUUUAAUCAUAAAUCACCUACUCUUCAAAUUGUGAGUAUCCAACUAACAUUCUGCAUGAACUUGAAUCUUUAUGUGGAGGUUUCCUUUUUUUCUCUGAGGAGUUUGAAACCCAAAUAUAUAUACUAAACCAACACAAAAAUCAUACAUGUGCAUUGUAGGAAGCAUGAUAUCAGUGUACUAAGGCCUCAUUGUUCUUUCCUUGAGUUUGUGGUUUCUAUUCCCUAUUGCCAUUCUAUAAUAAAAAGUUUCAUUUAAUGCACGUGAGAGGUGUUAAUACUUUUUCCUUUUUUUCUUUUUUCUUUUUUUUUUUCGCUGUCGCAUCGAUUUAGUGGGUCACGGUAUGUAAAUAUCACCUUUAUUUAGUAAAUGAAAAACUUCAAAUAUCACUCAUUUUGCACUUUCUUUUCCGUACCCUAUAGUUUAAAGAUAUCGGUUUAGUAUCCUGUAAUUUUAUUUUUCUCUUUUUAUUAUUCUUUUUACUUUCUUUUUUUUUUUUGCUAAAUCAGUGACAAAGUUGAAACUAAAAGAAAUUAGAUGAUAAACUUAGGUGGGUAUCUGAAGUUUUUUGUAUAUGAUUUAACGAAAUGUUAACGAAGGAGCUGAUGUUGGUAAAUGAUAACAUGGCACUUGUUCGGCUAAAAUAUAAUUUUUGUGACCUCAUUAGAAGAUAAAAAAACAUAUUUUUAUAUAUUUGUAGUCUUACUCUUUUUUUUUUUUUUCGUUUAAUCUAAUAGUAUUAGAUGACAUUCGAUACCAAAGAGGCCUCAAGCAAAAUCAAUGAUAACUUAUUCAGUAGGAGAGUUUUCUCUUUUAAGUUUUAAUCAGGAGUUUAAUUUUUGCUACUUUAAUGUUCUUACUAUUCAUAAUUUGGUAUGAUAGUUAUUUUAUUUACGAGGUGAUUUAUCUUAGUUUGUGAAAUUGAUUUAAGAUCGAAUUUGAUAUUUCAUUCUAAAUAAUUAAUCACACUCUUUAUAAAGUAUUGGCUAAAUUAUAAAAAACUCUCUUAUAAAUAUUCGCUUUUUUCACUCUUUUUUUCUAACUUUUAAAAAUUUUUAUUUUAUUCUCUCAAUAUUUCAAGUUGUUGUAUUUAACUAAACUCCGUUAAGGUUUCAUUACUAUUCAGUUUAUUUUUUAUAAUUUAUGUCAAAAAUAUCUUUUAAAUUGAUAAAAAAAUAUUAAAAAUUUAUUUUUUAUAGAAAAAAUAAGAAUAAUUUGGUUAUUUUGUUCACUCCAUUAACAUUGUAGUUUUCUAAAAAUAUUUCUGAAAUUUUAAGAGAGCAAAAUAUAGAUUUUUAAAAAUUAGAAAAGAAAAGUAAAACACGAAUAUUUAUAAAUUUUUUUUUUUAUAAUUUAAUCUAAAAUUUAUACAUUUAAAUAGAAUCGAAAUAUUUAUUGACCAAUUUAUUAUAAAUUUUUUGAACUAUUCCAGUCAAAAUUUUUGUACUUUAGAAAGUCAAAACUGUAAUCCUGCUGCCUUUCUGAAAAAACUGACGCGGCAAAGCAGGUUUCAGCUGGACUUUCAUCAAGAAAUAUGUACAUGAAUAAAUCAUUUUCAUUAUUUUCUCCUUCAAAUUAAAUUUAUUAAUUUUUUCUUUUGACCUUUCAAAUUCGUUUGGACAUUUGAUUUAUACUUGAACACAUCAAGUCACUGAUCCACCAAAAUUAAUUAAUUUAAACUGCUAAGUGAAAUUAGUGUUUCAUCUGAUAUUUAAAUAACCACCCUCGGUAGUCUGAUUGGUAGUACAAAAUACUGUUUUUCAAGCUGCUAAUUCACUAGCAAAUUCUAAUUAUUUUAUAUUAUAAGAUUCUGUUUGAUAUUGAGAAUCAUCUAAUGCUAAUAAAUAAAAUACAUUUAUAUUUGAAUUUGCUUCUCUGUUUUUCAAUAGAAUAGUAAAAAAUUUAUUAUAACAUAAUAUUACAUAUUUAACGUAAUUCCAAAUAAGAAUACAAAUGGGGCGGAUCCAAGAAUGGGCGGGAUCAGUGGAUUUUUGAUGGAUUUGUAGUGAAUCGAAAUGAAUUAAGAGAAUAAAUGGAUCUCUCAUUUUCUAUUCCAUUUUCUAAACGAAUUAGACGGAUUCAGAACGAAUUAUUUUUCUUUUCUCAUUUUUAGGCCUCACAGGUCGCUCUAUUCGGAACGGAUCGGAGCGGCAACUCCACCGACCCGAAUCCAUUUGCAUCCGGAAUCCUAAACGGAGCCUACGUGGCAAAAGCGCUUCUUAGGAAAUGGCUCCAGUCAAUUUGAAAAGGUCAAACUUGCAAACUCUUAACGAAAAAACCCAAUUAAAAAAAAAAAGACUCCAAUUUUGACCAAUUGACUUUGAAAUUCCCCUUCUCCUCGAACCCUAUACGUAUUUAUAUACCCACCCAAUCCCAAGAUCAAACACCCAAUUACAUUUGCUUUUAUUUGGAUCGAACAAAAAAGGAAAAAUCCCCCAAAAAAAGAGAAAAAUUGAGGAAUACGAUGAAUUGGAUUAGUCGAAAGGUUCAUCUCUACAACGUGACCAUGGGCCUCUACAUGCUCGAUUGGUGGGAGCGCUACCUCUUCAGUAUCCUUCUUAUUUUUUGCAUGGAUUUUUUUUUUUUUUUUNUUGUUUGGGGGUGUUUUGAUUUGUUGUUUUAACUAUUUUUUCUGUUAAUUUUAGUACGCACUAGAAAUUUUUUUUUUCUUCUUGUUCAAUUUAAAUAAUUAUAUGCAAUAUUAGCCCUAAUGUAUCGUGCUGUGUUGUUUGAUAUAGUGUUGUAUCAUAUUAAAUUAAUAUAUAUAUUUGUUGUUAUGCAGUAGUAUGUUUGAUUGAUAAAGUGUUGUAUUGUGUUAAUAUAAUAUAUUUCUAAUAAUUUCCUUUUUAGCGGAUUUAGAUUCACCAAUUCAACUUUUUUUCCCUAUGCUUGCUUUAGUUUUUAAAGAAAAUAGUAGUUUGGUAUAAUAGUACGGUAUCAAAGGAGAAGAUUCUAAGUUCACGUCUUUCUAAAUAACUAGUUUUUAUUCCAUUAUUUCUUGUUUAAUUCAAAGUUAUAUCGAGCGUAUAAUAAAUUUUGAGUUCAAAUGCAAGAGACAAUGCGGGAGUUGGAACACCGUUCUGUAGCAGUAAAUGUCAGUUUUCCGAAAAAUAUUCCGAAAAAUAUUUUCAAAUAUUUUUUGUCCGUUUUGGUUCCAGAAAAUAAUAGCUUUUCUGAAAAAGUUUUUUCCCAGAUUUUAUUGACAAAUAAAAAGCAGUGUUUUUGUUUUCCGAAUUUUUUGUCCGGAAAGUAAAAACUGUGGAAAAGGGUGUUUUUCAUGGAAAAUGUUAAAUAUAAAAAUAUACAAACACCGUUCUCCAAUAGCUUAAGCUUUUAGCGUGUAUAACAGUUGUUUCACAUUAUAUCAGAGCAGGAGGUCCUGAGUUCGAGUCGCGUCAGGCUCCUAGCAUUGUUAAUUUUCUCCCAUUUAAUUCAAGCCCAUGUCAUGAACCUUGCAAAAAGUCUCGAGUCCAGACAUGCGGAACAUUCUCUAACAGCUUAAGCUUUUAGCUUUUAGAGUUCACAGAAAACAUUUUCUUUUCCCAAAAAGAACAGUUUUUCACGCUUUUUCGAAAAUUGAUUGGCUAACAUUCCUUGCUUUAAGUUCUUGAUUUUGUUUCCUUUUAUUCUGCCUGUGUUUUUCUGAAUUAUUGAAUCACUCUUUUGAAGAUUCACUUUCAGUAGAACUAGAUGUUUCACCUGCUCCUGAUUAAGAAAAUAGCCAAAUUUAAUCCUGUACGUGAUUUUAUUAUUGUAAGUUUUUUUAGCCAUGUUAGAAUUAGAUUGUGGCCUGUUUGUCUUAACUCUUUUUAGAUGUAUUGAUCCUUGUUCUGCUGUGGUUCAUUUGCUACAAUGGAUCAAGAUUUGCUGCCGAGUUCUACGACAGGUAAGAUCUGUUUCCGCUUUCGAUCUGCAGAUGAAUCUUCGCCAUCAUACAUGAGUUUCAGUCUGAUUUAUGCUGGUCAUCAAUAUCUGGAGAUUGUGCAGGUUUAUUAUAUAUGCAGAUGCUGGGCUGUGUUAUCAGUAAAUUCUUAAUAAGUUGCAUUUUCUGAGUUCAAUCUCAGAUUACUUUGUGAAAUAAUUUUGGUGCAAUUAGUGUUAGUCACUUGAAUAAUCUUUCUCAUCAAAUUCAUUUGCUGUGUCUCAGUACUCCACCAUUCAAAUUCAAUACAGUUUUCGCUUCACUUUGCUUGUCAGCAUCAUUUGUAUCAUCAUUCUCAGAUAUUUGCUGCUGAAAUGACCUGCUGUUUUUCUGCUUUGCAAAUCAUUGCUUUCGAAACAAUGCUUCGCAUACAUCGUCUCCGUACGAAAUCUUUUUCUUUAUUUCUCUAUCGAUCACUAAACAUGACGUGAUCGUCUUAUCGUUUUUUUCAGCCAUGCGAAGACAAAUUUUGGUUGGCGGCACUUCGCCAAUGGGGGCAGUAUAACAUCCUGAUCAAUAACAAGAACCCGCCGAGAGAUAGUAGAGGUUUUAAAAGUCCAUGUUCAUCGUCGAUCAUCGCGUUUCAAACCUCUUUUCUAUGUAAUUACCUCUAGUUUGUAAGCUUAUUUGUCAAAAGACGCCACGCCGCAUGAGAUAUUCAUGCUAUGUUUGUAAUCAGAAUGUCAGAUCUUAAAGGAAACUCUAUCAAAUUGUAAUCUCCUGAGCAUACUAUUUACAACACAUUACAGCUUCUUAAGUUGUCGACGAAUUCCCGAAGAUUUAUUCUCUUUCUGUUUCACAAAUGACAGAGAUUGAUAUCACGAUUGUCAGUACAUCAAUAGCCUGCUCAUAUUUAUCCAUUUACUCAUAUCGUUAGUAAAUUUUGAGUAAACUCUAAAAACAUCAUUCAAAUAGGGGCAUUUAUAUAGGGCGCUUUGCUAAAUACAUUCAUUUUUAUAUUUUGAAAAAUUCAAAAGAUUCAAAAUAAUUUCAAGAGACUUUUCACUUUUCCCCCUCCAAUAAAAUAAAAAUAAUGGUAAAAACUGCUAGCAAGAAGCAAUGACCAAAUCAUUAUAGACGUAAACCGGGCCGGAUUUCGACCCAACCCGGCCUGAUGGUGUGGUUAACUGACCCGGUCCGGUACCUCUUUCUCUGGGUUUAUUUUUCAAAUUUAGCACCCCAAAAUUUUUUUAUUACACAAAUAAGUCCAUAAAAAAAAUUUCAAUUUUAAAAACCGUUUAUCUUGUUUACAUAAAGAGUGUUACUACAUAUAUCAUAUCGUCAUUAUAUUCUAAAUAAAUUUUAAAUUCUAAUAUUUUUACAUGUGUUAGCCAACAUAUCAGCAAUAUAGCUAAGUAUCCAAAAAUAGGAAAAUUAAAAAUAUUUCUCUUAUAUAAAAUAUCUGUUGUUUAGCGUGGCAUCCACGUGGACAAAAAUAUAUAUAUUUUUAUAAUUCAUAAAAUAAAAUAUUUUAAGAUGAUAAAAUACAAAAAAGUAAAAACCUCUCUCUCUCUCUCUCUCUCUCUCUCUCUCUCCACAAUCUCUAAAUCAAAAACAGCAAUGAGAAGUAGAACGGGAAAGCCUUAAAUGAGUGUGUUAUACACUAACAAAAAAAGGAGAGUAAAAAAAAAAAAAAAAAUGGGGUUCUUCUUUGAAAACGCUCUCGCUCCCCUCUCAAUCCCUCGCGCGUCUCCUCCUCUUCUUAGCACGCGCAAACCUACGUUGAGAAAUAAGCGAAAUGGCGUUUCUGAGGUAAUAAAAUCAUGGCAAAAGAGAGUGUAUCCAUCCAUUUUUCCAAUUUCUUUUGCAAUUUUGCGUGUUGCGUAUGCGGUCAAUUUGGUAGGUAAUAUGGUAUCAGAGCCAGUAUACUGAAAAGUCAUUUUCAUUUGAAGAGGUUGUGGGUGCGAUUCCCAAUGUUGAUAAUCCAUUAUAUUCUGUGUCAGUAGUACUUAGAAAAGAUCAAUCUAGUCGGAAAUGACUCGAGAGUAGCUCUUAACACUCUACUCCGGUACAUGGUAGAUAUCAGAUGAAUCAUUUCAUGCACACCGCCUGAAAAGCAUGAAAAGGUAACGUGUAGCACGUCAGUAGGGGCAUUAAUGGCUGGGGAUUAGCCCUUAACGUCCUACUUCGGUGCACGGUAGAUAUCAGAUGAAUCAUUUCGUAUAUACCUCCUAAAGAGCCUGAAAAGGUAACGCCUAGCACGUCAGUAGGGGCAUUAAUGGCUCGGGAUUAGCCCUUAACGCCCUACUCUGGUGCAUGGUAGAUAUCAGGUGAACCAUCCCACCCGCACUGUCCGGAAAGGUAACGAAGGAGACAACAAAAUAAUAGAGAGAUGACAUGCCAUAAAAUGGCAAAGUGGGGAUUAAAUUAGGACUUUCUAAAACAGAGGGGACUUAGAACUGACUCUGAUAUCAUAUUAUAUAUUCAGUAGAAAAUGAUUCAGAAUUAGUCUUAAUAAUGGCUAUUCUCGAACCUUUUCAUGCCAGAUUGAUGUUUUCGGUAACAUUUGUUUCAUUAGAUGGUUUAAGGGUUCUGGUUCUGUGACCUGUUCAAUAUUGAACUUUUGAUGCAUUAUUUAUGGCUGCUUACUUUUUAUAGUAAUUUUCAUUACAUUAUGUCUGAUUCCAAAAUUCGGCGGACGCCUUCUGUUAAUAUUGCAAGUGCUUUGUAUCCAAAAAUGAGUGUAAGAUCUGUAAUCUUUAUUUAUCUGUGUAGAACUUUUGUAUGAACUUGACUGUGAUAGCUAAUUGAAACUCUGCAUUAUGCUUUGUUGUAGUAUAUAUCUGGAUUUUUCUUAUUCAACUGAGAUAUAAUUUUACUGUAAACUUUUUCGUACAUCAUUGUUAUCUCUAUGAUAAUUCAAUUAUAUAUUUGCAAUGUAAUGAUUCAGGCAUUAAUUGGGGAUCUGCAUGUAUGUGAAAUCAACACCUUGGCUUUCAGAUCUCAAAUUUCCCUUGGCAAUUGGAUUUUCGUGCGAAGAAAAGCAUCCGGUGGAGAAUUGGCAAGUUUCAAACUUUUCAAAAGUGAGGUAUUAAAAGCUGGAUACGAGUCCUUACAUUCUGCUGUUAGCUUAAAUUGCAAGACCUGUUGGCCGAAAGUGGAAGAUUUGUUGGAUACUGGUUCAUUUCGCCUCCAGAAAUAUCACUAUUAUGCGAGUAUAGUUCCUGACUUCAAAUCCUGCUAGAUAAAGUGCUUUGUGACUACUUGAAAGUUUGUAUCCGAGGUAUUACAUAUCGUACAAAGGAAAAAGUUACCUUUUUGAUUUCCUCUUAAAAUGGCUGAUACAUGAUCUUUUCCAGAUGUCAGGUGUGAAACUGCAAGUUUUCACCAUUUUCCAAGCAGAACUAUUCUUAUCAUUGGAAUAUCUUGACCUUGGUAAAUGGGUAGCAGCUAUCGAGGCCGGUGCUAUGCUCGGAACACAUCUCAUGAUAUUAUCAGUGUUUAUCAAUUUCACUUCUAUUAUUUUCCAGUACCUUGCUAGUCGUAUUGUCAUGGUCACAGGAAGGAAUCUUGGUGAGGUACCCUUUUUUUUUUUCUCUCAUUUUUCUUCCUUCUAUGGUGAGUUCUAAUGAAUUGGUUCUUUCAUUGUUCACCAUGUUUAAUGCUUAAUUUUUUUUAUUAGAAUUUUUCAUGUAGUUAAAAUUGAGAUUUAAUUUUGCGUUCUUACUUACUGACAUUUGCUGAAUUCAUCUUCUUAAAUUUCUCUGUAAAUUAUGAACUACCCAUUAUCUUUUUCGGCAAAAGAUUUGCAGCGAGGAGUACAGCAGGUUGACAUGUGUAAUUCUCGGUGGUGUAGCUGAGCUAUCCAUGAUUGUUUCAGAUCUGAUAACGGUACUCUUUUAUGCUCAUGUGAUUGAUCAAAUCCAACUUUUCAUAUUGUUGUUCAAAUACUUAUGUCUAUGAUAUAAAAUGCUAGUUUUUAACCGUUGCGCAUGGAUUUCAACGAUUAUAUGGGCUGAGCCAAUUCGAUUGUGUCCUUUUAUCUGCUAUUCUUCCUCUUCUAAGUCCUUUUACUUGGACCCUCCUGGUAAGCAUAUCUCAUUUAGUUUCCAAAUAUCAUGUGGUGCUUUAUUAUUUGAUUUUUCAUGGUGACCUUUACGUAUGAUUUGUAGGGUUCUUUCAAAGAGUCGAUAUAUAUUACUAUAUCAGGUUUCACAUUGCUCUUUUAUCUUCGCGGGAUGCUUGUCAACCAAUUAGAUGUUUCACCUGUCACUUAUGCUAAGCAUUCAGGAUUGAAUAUGGAAACUAUUUGUUCAGUGACUGCUCUUCUUGGCUCAAAUAUUAUGCCUCACUAUUUUUUCAUUUACUCUGCUAUAUUGCAGGUAAAUUGUACUAAGUUCUACUCAUAUCGUUUGCAUGAGCUUUGUGGUCAUUCCCCUCUUUAUUUGGUUGGAACUAUUAUAAUGAAUACAUGCAUGAUUGUGAAGAUAAUGUUGCUUCUAUCACCACCUCAACAUUAUUUCAUCUUUUUUUAAAAGAUAACCUUUAAAUACUUACGAUGUUUAUGGGGAUAAUCAACCACUCUAUUCUAACACAUCGCAAGAUUUGUGUAUAAGCCUAUUGGUUGGCUUCAUAAAUUCUAUCAUUCCUGUCAAAUGAUUCAUCGAUUUCAGUUAUUUCCAUCUUAUACAUCCUCUCUUAAUACAAAUAUGGUGCACAUGGUAUUUGAAUUGUGAACAUUUAAUUCAUUAUAUUCAAUUGAUUUCACUUGGCAUUAUUUAGCUUUUAUCUGAAAGUGUUUCUCUCUUUCGCCAGAUAGCUAUGCUUCAAUUCAAAGAAGAUCAUUAAUUAAUUAGCUAAUUAUCUUUUUAUCUUUGAUGAACUAUCUAUGAUUACCCAAAUAGCCCAAGUUCCAUUUUAAUUCUUUCAGCAGCGUCUUCAGUUAAUUCUGAGACGUGACAAUUUCUCUUUUUUUAUUGCUUCUUCUUAAACAGCAGCAAAGCAGAUCGACAAAUUUUUGUACCGGCAAAGAUGUUCAUAAGAAACUUUUCACCAUAAUACCUAAUUUUUCUAUAAUUUUCUCGGUCAACUACAUGUUGAUGCGCUCAGCAGCAGCUGCAUUUGGUAACACUGGCCAUUUUAUGCCUACUUUUCAAGAAGCAUUUAUGUUGAUGGAUCAGGUUAUGUAUUACUUACACAUGCUCUGUUAUUUUCUGAUUUUCUCAGUCAACAGUCAAAUUUGUAUUACUCGAAUUCAGCAUGUAUUGUUUUUACAUGGAUAAUACCAACCGUUCAGAACUUGGUUGAUCACUAGAUUUUGUCCAAGUGCACGGCAUGUUGCAUAAUUAUUGAUAUCGUACAUCAUUACCUGCCUUUACACCUUAAUCUUUUGAUUGGCAUCUGAGUGUCCAAGUACUCAUAUUGAAGAUGAUUACAUAACAUGUUGUAAUUACAAUAAAUUAAUGCAAAAUUCGUUACACUUCUAAGAUAAUGAUAUAUUAUAAGUUGUUUUUACAUAACAUCCCACAUUUCCAUGACUUUAGGUUGUUUAUGUGUCAAAAAUAAGUUCUUUGACAAAAAGUGAAUGUGUCGAUUGCUGCUUAUAGCUUUGUGGAUCCUUACCAGCAUAGUCGGCUGAAGGCUUGAUGGUUGGUACCCGAGGUCAUUCGAAGCCUACUUGCAUCAUAUUUAUAGCUAAAUUCAUUUUUUUUGUAAAUGAACAAAGCAGGUAGCAAGCUACCUUUCUCUUUCAAUUACAUAAAGGCUUUGUGGAUCCUCAUUGUCAGCACAUAGUUGAUGAUACCACAAAAACUGAACUUCUUUUUUGGUCUUACCAUUUCAAGAAGAUCUGUCACAUGUGUUCUUCGUUGAAAUGCAUGCCUCCAAUGGCCAUAGCUGAUUUUGUGGCACACAAGUAGGCAUGGAAGGAUUGCAGGGCUUCCGCAAGGACAUUUUCUCUUGAUGAUCGAAAAUGAAGGAUGUAAGUUUGUAGCAUAAUUCUUCAAUAUCUUAUAUGUGUUGUAAGCCGACACGAUUUGUAGAUACUAUAUACCUGCAAUAUCCCCAUGUCAAAGCAGAGAGAACCAAUCUCAUCAUGAAAGGAGAUUUCUCCAGCUUCGUUUCUAUGUCCAGGGUUUUCAUUGUCAUUUAUCUUUAAAUAUGGCAUGAUGGCAUGACGGCAUGAUGACUUGGAAGAAAGAUUAUGAUUGGUAUUAGUGGACAAUAAAUAUUCAGCCGUCUAAUAUAUUUCUGGCUACUGUAGAUCAGGCAAGACUAGUCAUCUAAUUUGCAAAAAUAGUUGAUCAGUCAGUUGUAGUCCAGCAGCCAUAGAUGCUUCUUCCUCAGAGCUAACAAAUUAAUCCGGCUCUGAUACAGUUGUUGGGAUUAUACAUCUUUUUAACUUCUGACCUACCUCUUUAGGUGAUCUGAAGAAUUCUCCAAGGAGAUGCUUGGAAGCAGGAGAGAACAUAGUGGGAAGAAAAACAAAGAAAAUGAUGUUGGCUAGGAAACCUUGCUCUUCAGUUUCUAUUUUAGAACGAUUAUAAAGUGCCCUACGUGUAGGGGAAGGUUGCUAAAUAAGGAUAAAAUCCCCAGCGGGUGUUCUAAUCUCUAUCCUAACUCAAAAUUUUAUGAUCUAUACUUUCCUUCUAUGGAAAUUGAGUUUUUCAUGUUAUGUCUAACUUCAGCGAGAGGAAAACAUUAAUUUUGACUAUUGGUUUUCUGCAGUUUUUCUAGAUAAAAAGUUAUUACAGCAAAUGACAGUAAAAAAAGGAGAAAGCCGCUUAGGGAAGGGUCAACCUUCAGACCUUUCUCCCUUUGGCGGAAAAACGUACUAGGCUGCAAAGAAAUCUUCAAGUGAGGUAUCCUAUUCACUCGGUGAUAGGAACUCGGUUGAAUAUGGUCCGAUAGAUGGCGUGAUGUGACCUUGUUACUCGCAAGCUAUCUGGACAUAUACGCCCAUGUUUCACGCAAAGAAAUAAGGGUUAGGGAUUGUUUUUCGCAGAAUCGUUGGUAUUGGAAUAUUAUAAACUUAGUGGUGGUGAGGAAGCUGAGGUGCUAGAGAACUCAUGAGUGCAACAUUUCAGAAACUACGGCUCAAACUUCUAAAUGACUAAUGGCCGAAAGCUAUAAAGUAGAGAUGGACUAACUCGCAAACCUUCAUGAUGUGAUCACUUUGUGCCAUGCUCAUAGAUGGUGGUGUGACGAAUUCCAAUACUCUCUAGAUCUGAAAACUAAAAUUUCUGAUGAAGGUGAAGAUAUUUACAUGGUUGAUCUUAAGGAAGAGAGUUCUGACGGCGGAUAACUUGGUGAAAAAGGGUUUGGUGGGCGAACAAUCUUGCGCAUUAUGUCACGAAGAACUGGACACUGUCGACCACCUAUUCGGUGACUGUGGAUACAACAAGUCCAUACUCCUUAGGAUAUUGCAUGAUGAGAAGCGAACCCAAAAUUAACUUGUGUGCGACUUGUGGGAGGCAACCAAAGAGAUUAGGGAUGGCCAUAGGAGGAAGCAGGAAUUAACUAAACUAGCAGGAUCUUGGUAGGCUAUUUGGAGUGAGAGAAACAAUACCAUCUUCCAACAAAGUAAAAAGUCGGUCUAGCAGGUCCUGAAUGAAUUAUAGAACCUUUUAGAGUUCUGGUUUCAAUGUUUGAAAUGAAGGGUCCUGAGCGAAUCAAGUCAUAGGUCUCGUAUUAUAACUGAGGGUGGGUUGUGUUUCUUCCGCUUCUUCUUUCUCUCUCAUUUUCUCCUUUUGCUUGUUUUUUCUCCUCCUCUGAGGCCAUAUUGCUUCACGUUUGUUGCUAAGUUCAUUAACCUUAUUGAAUGAAGCAGGUAGUAUGCUACUUUUAUCUCACGCAAAAAAGAAAAAAAAAACUUUGACGGUGAAUUUGAGGGUUAAGCGACUUCUGAAAUGGUGCUCAACUACCAGCCCUUUUGGAUAUUUAGAGCUUGGUCGGAUGAAACAAGUCUUGAAUUGCCUCAAUCAGAGUCCCUAUAAAGGAGAUAUGGCCUUCAUAAGUAGUAGGUGUCAUUUUGGGUCAAUAGGCUUCGUUUUUUAUCGAGUGGAGACAAUUUUCCUAGACAUCCGACUAAACCAUUUUCCUAGACAUCCGACUAAACCAUUUGUGUAAACCCAACCUUAUCUAGAUUCUCUCAGAUCACUAGGGAUAAGUUUUUUUUCCUUUUCUUCUAAUAGAAGAGUCUCCUACUUUAAAACCCCAAUUACACAAAAUAUACAGCUAUCAAUUCUCAUGCACCCAAACUCAGGACAAAGGUCCUUAUUUACGCCCUAUUUGGAUGGUAGAAUAAGUUACUUAGUGAUAUCCUAUUUAGCAUGAGGAUUUUCUAUUGUGAUUGAAAGUUAGGAGUCAGAUUAAUUGUUUACAAUGGAAUAGCAUAUUCGGCCUUCAAGUUCAUUUUUCGGAAUAAAAUAAAUCACCUUGUUGGCAAAAUAUGCUAUCCUACGUAAUCAUGGAUGCCAAGGCCUUUCCAGGAUCAAAAAUCAAAUUCCUACCUUCCAAUCACACAAGAAACUUUCCAUACCGAAUAAGUUAUCAUCAGAUAAUUUAUUCUGCAAUCCAAACAAGGCCUUAUGUCCACAACAUUAAUAUUGUUGUUAUUGAUUGCUAAUCUUAAAUUAGAACUAUUUGUUUGAAACCUAUAAAACUAGAAAGUUGUUGAGUAUAAUCAGUCUGCGACAUCCAGUUGACUACAACUUUCCAUAUGAAUAAUGGACUGAUAGCGCCAUUUAGCCGAUAGAUCAUGUCAUUCCCAGUCCUUGUAAGUAGGACAAUCUUGGCCCUUCGGUGUUUGUAAUAGUAAAGAGCAGUUUUAACAAGAAAAUUUGAUUUGUGGAGAUAUUCUCUAGGAACCAAUAGCACCCGCAGUCAUGACGCUCCCCUCAUGUAAUAAUUGCGAGGUUAGUCGCCUUUAUGGGGUACAUUGAGUAUAAAUCGUCCGAGUCGCUAUGAAUUCAACGAAAACCAUUAUUAGAAACUUUUACUAUCUUACCAUUUGCGACGCUAUUGAGAAUCAUUUGAUCCAGUGCAUCAGAAAAUCCCUUCCACUAUAUCUAUAGGGAUAUCUAUCUCCUUUUCUAUCACCGGUAUCUACAGAAGCCUCAAUGUGCCAUCUUUCGUCUACCGCCUAGGACUUUUUCACUUUGAUUUCCGUUUAGUAGUAAGCAACGCCAGGCUUCUGGUGGCAUUUCCAAUUUGCCACCGAAGUGACAUCUUUUACCCUUGGUAAGUUCUAUAGAACUUUAUGUUACUUCUCUAAUCUUGUAGGAAACUCGGUUUCUUGACGACAACAGAGAUAAGUCAAUAUCAAAGACAAUGAUUUGGCAUUUGAUGUUUAGUGGCCUGAUCACAUGCUACGACAUAUUUUGUCUUCAUGGAUCAAGCAGAUGUCACGAGUCCAAGAAGUUUUUUUUUGAAAAGUUAGAAGGCCAAAAGUAGAUGCAAGUCUUGUAGACCAUGGUGUGGAUCAAGGGUUUUAGCCUCAGUUAUUUGCAAGAAAUCAAUGGAAUGUAAAGGAGAAGUGAACUAAGAUCAGAUAAGAAAUCCUCACUAUUCACAUCAGUGUGUAAGGUUUCUUCUCACCAGAGUGUUUAUUUAAACUGAGGCCCUGAAAUAGAAUCUCCCAAGAUUUCGUAAACAAAGAUUAAAACUGUUUUGCAUCUUAGUAUGGAAAUGGUCAAAAAUAACUCAAAAGACAUAAUUUUUCCUUACAUAGUAAUAAUACAAUUCAUAUAUAAUUAUUUCUGUAUCUCUGCAACUAUGAGGUAAUGCUUAUUGAUCGUGAACCUGGAGUAAUGCGCGUUAUGAGAAAUAUCCAUAGAACCUUGGCUUCUAACAUGAUGUAUGGUAACUUACAUAAUAGCUUGUUUACGUAUAUGUGAAAGUUCAAUGAGAUGUCAUAAAAGUUUAGAUGUAUAAAAUUGGCGCUGAUCGAUCUGACUAAGGCUGAUCUUAAAACCCCUGUUUUAGGGGUAUUCCGCCUUAUAUAGAAAGAUGCUAAUUGUUUAUAAUGAUAAAUUGCUUGAAGUCUUUAAUUAUAAUGCCAUGCAUGGAAUCAAGGCCUUUGUAUUUUGGAAGUGAACAAAAAAUGGAAAGAGAAUAUAGUGUUUUUUUUUGUCCUUUUGAGAGGAAGGUAGCAAGCUACCCGUUUCGUUCAUUAUUUUUUUAGAAAUUAACUUAGCUAGAAAUGUGAAGCAACUAGGCUUCAAAAUUGAAAUCUCGGGUACCAACCACCAAGCCCUUAGUUAACUGUGCUUGAUACAGUCGGUAAAAGAGAAUAUAGCCUGUCACUUUCUCUAAGUAAAUGUAUGUACUUGAUGGAUGAUAGCUUAACAUAAAAUUAGCAUAAUAUAUUAUUCCUAUAUAUCGAUAUACUGAAAUCUAUGUUUCUAGGUUACCUGAUUUUAUAUUUUUUUUUUCAUUUGUCUUAAUAUUUUUGCGUAUGUUGAACUUGAAAUUUUGAUGAAGCUUAUUUACUAAAAAUUGAAACUGAACCAAAUACUUGAAUGCUUCCCUCUUUGUAAAUGAUUGCAAAGUUAUCUUGCGCAGUAAAUUAAAAAAGUAACUGAGAUAGAUGGGAAAAAUUGAAAGCAUCUAUUGAGUAGUUAUACAAAUGCCAGAUGAUAACUUAAACAGUUUGUUGCUUAACCAUGACAUAGUACAUAUUUAUAGUAUUGAUAUGAUUAUCACAAGCCUCUUGUAUAGGUUUUCAUUCGAAACUUUGUAUGCGAAACUUAAAGACCUUUACCAAACAUUGAUGAUGACAUAAUCCUGCAAUUUUCUAGAUAUCACAAUCUUUUGUAGCUCUAUUGAUCUUCCAGUCGGCGAAAUGAAAACUAACAAUCAAAAAAGUAUAAACUACAUGGGGCAUAAAAUUAAUUAAGAAAAUCAUCUAAUUUAAAUUCUCCUACUUCAUGCGGUGAGAAAUUCUUCUAGGCCUCUAUUCUAGGCCUCUAAGUACUUUCUUAGUCAAACUAAUCCAAAAUUGUGCUGGAAAAUCAGAUUAGUAUUGCAUAAUUAACUUAACUAUCUAGUAAAUGGUUUGAUGUUUUUACAAUUUCAACUUUUGCAGAUCUUUACAAGUCCGACAGCAAGUUCUACUUUCGGUGUUGUUUUCUUCAUCUCUAGUCUGGUUACAUCUGUAAAUCGGAAUCUUGGUCAGCAAGUGGUUUUACAUAAUUUAUUUCGCAUUGACCUACCUGUUUCGAUUCAUCACCUUAUAGUGAAAGCUCUAGCCACCAUUCCAGCUCUGUUGUUCCUACGCAGUAUUGGUUCAGCGAAUAUCUACCCUUUGCUUCUUUUCUUUCAAGUCAUUGUAGCUAUUCUGCUGCCACCAUCAAUUCUUCCUCUUUUGCGUAUUUCGUCGUCAAAAUCUCUGAUGGGUGUGUUCAAAAGCUCAAUGCUUUUAGAAAUUCUCCUUUGGCUUGCAUUACUUGUCAUUGUUGCAACAAAUAUCAUAUUUAUCGUGGCAUUGUUGCUCGGAGAUAGCUGCUGGUUUUCUGAACUGUCGGGAUUCCUCUAUGUUACUGUUCUUCUUCUCGCUUUGACAUCAUUGGGCUUUACAAUUUAUUUGGCCUUCGAACCAUUAGCAUCAACAAAAAUUAGACCAGAAAUGCAGAUUCUCAAGUGGGCCACGCAAAAUGAUCAAUUUGAUCUGCCCAAGAGUAACGAAGAGAAGUUCGUGGAUAAUAAGAAUGCAUUAUAUCAUGAUCAAGCUUUCGCAGAACAAAGAAAGGCCGAGAAUUCCCUGGAGAUUGAAUCUGGUGGACCAGUUCUUCUGUCUAAUCUUGAUCAAGUUAAUACAGUUACUGGUUCUGAAUUUGAUGUUAAGGAAUGGAGAGAUGAGCCUUUUGUUGGGGAUUUUGUUAAUGAGAUUGCUCGGCAAAGUGACGAAUUCAAAGCCCCAAGCGAGAGGAAUGAGGAACUAGAAGUGUUUGUGCGUGACAAGAAGGCUGAAGACACCAGAGACAUUUUCAAACCUUUUAGCAUUCCAAUUAUUUCACCUUUCGGCGUGAAUCAAUCUUCAAAUAAUGCGAGAAUAAAAGGUAACAUUUCUGGUGUUGUUGAGAGCAAAAGUACAGCGGCAACUGGACUUAGUCGUUCUGGGCGACGCAACUUGGCGGCCAUUCUUGACGAAUUCUGGGCGCACAUUUUUGAUUUACAUGGGAAUCUAACAGAGAAAGCAAAGAUCAUAAGAGCAGAUCUUCUACUUGGAUUGGAUAUAAAAGUACUCUCUGCAGGAAAAGAAGCUUCUCAGAAGAAUUUAGACUCUGGAACUCCUAAUAUCGACAAAUCUUCUGUUACUGAAUCUACCGGGCCUUAUAAUGAUUCUUCUUUGGUUGUAGUUAACGUCCCCUUGGGCUAUACGAGGAACAUCCCUACAUCGCCUGCUGUUGCCAAGCUGAAAAAGUUAAUCAGGCUUUCUUUUCUCAAUGGACGAGGUGACCAAUCUGAAGAAGAAUUGUCAGAAAAGAUUCUGUCUCUGGAUAAGUUGGCACAUGAACAAGCAAAGAAUCAAAAUAUCCCCGUCGUAAAAUCGGGAGGUUUUUACUCGUUAGAAUCAAAACUAAAUGAGAACUUUUUGUCUGAGCCAAUCAGCCCGAUAGUGGACUCGCAACCUUUCUGGGCUACUCAACCGUUGGAAGGAAUAUUCAGCACGACGAUUUUAGCCAGAAAGGGAGAGAGGCCCGGCGAAUUCAAAAGAGCUUUCACUCCAAAGGUUACGUUUCCGUUUAGAGAAGCGGAAGGCUUGGUUUUAUUCUCUCUCCGUGUUUGCUUCGGCAAGCUUUUGAAUUUGGACGGUUCUGAUUGGUUGUUCGCUCAAAAAGGAGGUUAUGAUGAGGAGCUAAUAGACUCAGUGGCCGCGGCAGAGGGAUUUCAACCAGGAAUGGACAAGGCUUGGAAGGGCACUGAGGACGAAGUCGUGAAUCUCUGGUUGUCAAUUCCUAAUUGUGGCGACAAAUGUGUUUGGCAAUCUCACCUCGUUGUUAGCUUUGGAAUAUGGUGUAUUCACCGUAUAUUGGAAUUGCUUAUCGUGGAGAACCGGCCUGAGUUCUGGGGAAAGUACACCUAUGUUCUUAACCGGCUUCAGGUAAAGCGAAUAUUGAACCGCCGCAUGCAUUUAAAUUUCGAGUAGCGUUCUAUUUUGCUCUUUGAAGGAGCACUAACAGCUUUUUCUCAACAAAAAUGUUCCAAUAAGUUGCUGCUGCAGCAGAAGCAAAGUUCAAAUUGAAACUACUGAUCUUUUACUUAUCUUAUGACCGUUCGCUGUUUCGCUACUUCCUGAAAUAGAGAAGUUAUUUCAGAAGUCUAACUAAAUAGGCACGUAAACAUUGCAUACUAACUAUUUACGUCGGAUGUAGGGCAUACUUGAUCCCGCAUUCUUAAAGCCUCGCAUGUUCCUCGCCCCGUGCCAUUGCCUCAACCGCGCAGAAAUGAAUGUAAGUUGGACUGAAUCUACUGGCGCAAACUUUGUUCUGCAAAUGCUUAAGGACGUCGAAAGUGCUAUAUCGGGCCGUCGAGGCCGAGCUGGGACUGCAGCAGGAGAUGUUGCAUUCCCGAAGGGCAAGGAGAAUGUGGCGUCGGUCGUCAAGCGCUACAAGCGCCGGCUUUCCAAGAAGCCAUCUGGUGCAAAUUAGAAGCUGUUUUUUUCGAAUCUCGAAAUAAUUCUCCAUAGUUUGGAGUAACUGAGAAUAAAGUUUGGUGUUUCUCAUCAUGGAUUGAAAUUGAGGAACAUGACUUGCUCUGGUUGUUCAUUAAUGCCAAUUAAUGAGUUGUGCUUUCAUGGUGGUUUUGCUUUUAAUUCAUGAUGGUUGCUUCGAUGUCGAUCGAUGAACAACUACAAGCGAAAAAAAUUCGUGUUUUACUGAAACAAUGUAACCUCUAAACUAAGGUUUUAAGUGCCCGUAGGCACAGGCCGUAUCCACCAUGCUGUACCGUGCCGGCAAGUUUCCGGCACGAGCUUGUGCCACGGCACUUAAAUCCUUAUUCUAAACCCCCCUACUACAAUUCUUUUGCAAAUAGGUGCCUAAACUUUCAAAUUUUGCAAUUAUAUUCUUUAAAGUUUAGCCUUUCUCUUAAUUAAAGUUAUUAAUUACCCAAUCAUUUUAAUCGUAUAUAUUGCAUAUAGAUAUAUAAAGUUUUAGAACACAAACUUUUUUUGUAAUCUAACAUAUAAAAAAGAAUAAAAUUAAAAAUCUGAUUCAAUCUAUUCUUUGCUCGUCAUGACUUAAAAAGACCACCUGAGCAGAGUUUUUUUAUUAAUAGGCUUAAAAAAUAUUAUAAUUAUUAAAGUAGUUCUUUAAAAAAUUUAUUUAGAAAACUAAUCUUAUGCGGUGAAUGAUUCAUUUUUUUUAAAUGAGAUAAAUCAUUCACCACUUGCUCAAAUGUUAAAAUUAUUUUCACUAUUUAUUAUUAUACACUUUUUUGGAGGACGGGCGUAGAAAAUAUAUAAAUAUGGUAACAACAGUAAAUCAUUCACAAUUCAAGUUUAGUUUUAUAAAUAAAAAUUAGUAAACUUCAAAUACCAUCCAUGUGGUUUCAUACUUUUUCAUUUUAGUACCAUAUAAUUUAAAGUGUAUCACUUUAGUACCAUAUGAUUCAUUUUUUUUUCCUUUCUGUCAGCACCUUGGUUAACUCCCAAUUAAAUCAUAUACAAAGAAUUUCAGAUACCCCACCUAUAAUUUAUUGAAUAUUUACCUUAGCAUCCUAUAGUUUACCGAAUUUUUCUUUUGUACCGUGUGGUUUUACCUUUAUGAUUGAUAUAAUGGAAAAAUUAAUAGAGAAGAUAAUAAAAAAAAAAAAAACAAAACCAUAAGAUACUAUAAAGUGAUAUAUUUUAAAUUAUAGAAUACUGAAGUGAAAAAGCGUGAAAACAAAGUGGUGAUAUUUGAAGUUUUUUUAAUAAAAAUUUUGAAUAAAUUUUUUUAUAAUUAAAAAAUUUUGUCAUGAUAGUUGCUCAAUCCACCUAAACGAUGCCACGCGGCACACAUCAUGUAGAGCAUUUAUAUACCCACUCUUUAAAGUCAAUAUAUAAUAAUAAUAAUAAUAGUAGUAGUAAAAUACAAAUCCCAAAAUACUCUCUCUCUCUCUUUCUCUCUCUCUCUCUUUCUCGGUGCUCUCCGAGGUUAUCCUAUAUUUCUUAUUCGAGAAUAAAAUAAAAAAAAAAAAGGUACGCUGUUUUAAACCCCAACUCAAUUCUCUGUUUUCCUUAUUAAUUCCCUUUAAUAUUUGUGCAAUUAAUUCCCUUUUUAUUAUUUUUGGGGAUAAAGUUAUUCCCUGCUCUGUGGAGCAGUAAUAAGGGGAUAUAUCCAUGGGAUUCGUGCUGGUGAUAUCCCUGCCGUUCCUUCUCCUGAUCGCGAUCCUGGCCCUCGGUUGCUACUUGCUGGGCCGCGCCCGGGGCCGGGCCGAGUUGGGGGGCCCGCAGUUCUAUGGGCCCCCGGCCCCAGCCCCGCCCCUCGCGGCCCAACCUCCGCCUCCGGAGAAGUAGCGGUGUUGCAGUGGCUAAAAGCACUUAUUUUUAGUCUUUAAAAAGAUCGAGAAGAUCUAAAAGUACUUUCGGUUAGUAAUACUUUUAUAUUUUUAAAAACUUUUUAUAUAUAUAUAUAAGCUAUGACUUUGGCCACCGCGCAACCAAACUAGGCAUUAGGAAUUUUCGUUCCUGAUGUGUCAUGGACUUUUUCUUUUUCCGUGAAAAGAUAGGUGUUCAUAAAUAAAUGGAAGCGGUCUUAGUAAUAAUGUAAGAAUUUGUAUGGGAUUGUCGAUGUAUUGGUAUAUAUUGUAUGAAAAACUUUAAUUGAUUUAUACAUGUAGUCUGUAACGUUUGUUAUAAUAUCUGAUUAGAUCUAUAUUCUCCCCGCCCGACCCGGCUUCCGAUAUAAAUCGGAGGCCCGUGCUAGCUGGCCUGUCCUUGCCCAGUCAAUUUGGACUGGGCUUGGGCCGAGAAUCGGGUCGGGUCGGGUCCGGUCGGGUCGGACUCAAAUUGGCCAGAGGUUUAGUCAAGGUGAUUUUUGGCCGAAGAAAUUCUAGACACCGAAAGCAGAAGCUUCAAUUUUUCAUAGCUGUGAAUGCGGAAAUGUAUAAUUGUUUCUUUCUUAUUUAUUUCUUGUCGAAACAAACACCAAACGGUACGAUUACAAAUUAGCACAGUUAAUUGCUUUAAUUUUGCACACAAAUUAGUUGCAAAAAGGAUUGCAAAAUUUAUAAUUAUUAACGAGUUCUUAAAAUUUGGUGGUUGAAAAGCAUUUUAAUGUCUAGAUUAAAUGGUUUCAAUGAAACUUAAAACUUCGACCUUAUCUUACCUCUCACUUAAUAGGUACAUGGGUUCAUUAAAACUAGAAUUUGAUCUUUUUUUUGUGUCAAUAAUUCACUAUUACAUACGAGAUUUAUCGAGUAAUUUGAUGCCUUUAUUGGCCUUGAAAUUAAUACUAAGACCGUCAACGAGCCGAACACGAGUGAGCUCGGACUGGCUGGUGUUCGUUUGUUUAUAAACAAGUCAAACAUAAGCUGGCUCAUAAACAAUAAAUUAAAUUGUCAACCUUACUACUGGGUAAAAAGUUGGAAGAAAAAUAAAUAAAUAAAAAUCAUAAUCUAAUAAUUAAAAUUUAUAAAAUAUAGAUCUCUUUACAUACAACGGUGGAUCUCCAGCUCAUUUUGAAUCGAACAUGAAUUAACUUACGAACAGCGAGAUGGAUUGUCAAUGCCAUCGAUUCAUAGCUUGUAACAAAAUAACUUUUCCUUAAGUUUGUCUUUAAUUUAUUUUCAACGAAAAAAAGCCUUACAUUAUGUUAUUUUUCUCUCUCUCCCCCCUUUUUUUAUAUAAAUUUUGUUGAGCAUAGACACAAAAAAAAACAAAAAAAAAAAGCUAAGCUGGCACAUCCAUAGAGUCAACAUUUUGGGUUAUAUUAACGAGUUUUGCAUCAAGAAACGUGAAGCGUAUGUUAACUCAUGACCAGUGAAACUACCUACCAAUCUCUCCUUAUAUUAUUAUAUAAUGUGGAUGUAACAGAUAUGCAUGUGGGGUUCCCAUGAUACCACAACACCAUCAAGGGUGGAGAGAGAGAGAGAGAGAGGUUGGUGGAUCGUACAGUGUAGGUUAUGCCACCUAACUAGCAUCUUAGGAUGCCACGUGGCAUCCCUCUCUUUCUCUAUCUAGAAAUUCUUGCGUAGACCUGUUCCUCUCGAUUGUCAGCAAUAAACCUUCGAGUGAUCAGCCAUUUAUGCCAUCUCUGUCGCAUGUUUGCUUAUGUUCUUUUUAUUUUUCUACUUUAAAUUACAAUUGUUGUAACUAUUUCUACCUACAUCAUUUUUUAUUUAUAGUUAGUGUGGUACUAGGUCCAGUCCUAAGCCCUCUUUGUUUCAGAGACUUCGAUUCGCAUUCUAUAUCCCUAUUUUAUAACAUAUAUUUUUAUUUGUUAAUUUUUAUAUUUUUCUCUUUUGUUAUUUUUUCUAUUAAUGCAUAUAGUAUGAUUCGUCUGUUCUUCAUAAUACACAUGAAUAAAAAUGUUAAGAUUAUCUUUUGGAUUGUUUAGUAUAUCCGGUCUAUCUUUUGGAUGAUCAACAAUCAUCGAUCUCUCUCGCAUAUUUGAUAGAUAGAGAGCAGCUAGUUGUUAGAUAAACUUUAAUACAUUCUUUUUGUUAAAAACUGUACCGCCCCAAUAGAUGUACGUCGGAUAGAAAAAAAAUUUUGAUUGAAAAUAUAAGAGAUUACGUGCCCUAAUAAUAGUAAUUAAACUUAAGUAUUUUGGGACAGUGAUUUGAAUCUAAUGAGUUAUUAUUGCUAGCUAGUCUAGUCGUUACAAAAACACUAGUCAAAUAAUAUUACACCGCAUAACGCCACAUACACCUUGCAAUUAAGCCAGACAAUUUUUAAAAAAGAAGUUUAAAUUUUAAAGGCUGAAAAUUACUGAAAAUCAGAUGGUAAUUAAACUAAGAAAUGGAAUAAUAGUAGAUUCAUUAGCUGAUUCAUGCUGGCAUGGUGGACAUGGCUCAUUCUCUCUCUCUAUAUAUAUAGAGAGAGAGUUGAGCUAGAAUAUUCCCAAAAAUAUUGAAUUUGUAGCCCUUAGAUGGAGUGAUGUAGGGGUAAGAUGAUAGUGGUUGGUGGAAUAGUGUUUGAUUUAAAGACUAUUACUAGUUAAAGGGUAGAUUUAAGAGUUACAAAUCUAAAAGCACUAAGGGAUUGGUAUUUCUAAAUGUAUACUAGCUCAAUUAUAUAUAUAUAUAUAUAUAUAUAUAGAGAGAGAGAGAGAGAGAGAGAGAGAGAGAGAGAGAGAGUUGAGCUAAAAUACUUUUAAAAGUAUCAAGAGAGUGGUGCUUUUGAGUUUUUAGCCAUUGGAUGGACAAAUAUAGAGUUGAGAUGAUGAUGGUAGAUGGUGGUAGGUGAAAUAAUAUUUGAUCCAAGAGUUAUUAGUAAUGAAGGAGUAGAUCCAAGAGCUAAAAACCUAGAACCACCAAGGAGUUAGUGCUUCUAAUAGUAUUCUAGCUCAAUUAUAUAUAUAUAUAUAGAGAGAGAGAGAGAGAGAGAGAGAGAGAGUUGUGUUGGUAUGCUUAUGGAAGCACGGCGGCCUCCGUGCUUCCAAGUCGUUUUCGAUGUUCGGACUUUCGAAUCGACGAUCGGCUCCGUUAGAGUUGAUCUAGAGUAUUUGAAAUACUUAGAAAAUAAAUUUUGCUAUUUUUCGAUAUCAUUUGCCUAGUGAUCGAAGGGGCUCAAAAUCAAUAAUUUUAACGGCCGUGGUGAGCCGGUUACAAAUUUAACGGUGUAGAAAUAUCCAAAUCACAUGAAAUUUUGAUAAAAAAUUCUUUAUACCAUAUAAAACAAGAUUAAUAAUUUUAAUCUAAAAUUUUAAUGUCAUAUCAUCAUAUUUUGUAAGAUUUUUAUUUUCAGCUGUUGAUUUUGAGCCACUUCGAUCACUAGGCAAAUGAUAUCGAAAAAUCGUAAAAUUUAUUUUCUAGAUACUUCAAAUACUCUAGAUCAAGUCUAACGGAGCCGAUCGUCGAUUCGAAAGUCUAAACAUCGAAAA